Molecule: long non-coding RNA, 70980 nt
Filed under: Linum usitatissimum (flax)
Lineage: Eukaryota; Viridiplantae; Streptophyta; Magnoliopsida; Malpighiales; Linaceae
Description: long non-coding RNA (LUSI_LNC007974)
Rfam family: mir-172 microRNA precursor family (bases 9243-9399)
Source: RNAcentral
CAGAUUUACAACAACGAACUAAUUUAAGUUAAAAGUAUAUUUUAAAGAUAAUUUAAACAACUAACUCAGCCAUGGAUCAGAUUUCAAAGCAAAGCACCGUACAAUUAUUAAUUACAGUCGCAACAAAAUAAACAAUAAUUCACGCAGCCAAAUCACAGUGACUCAGACUCGGGAGGAAGAGCCAGUACUGAUCACUGAUUACCUCCCAGAUCCAUUCAUACACCUUCUAGCUCAGCUCCACCCUAAUCCAUUCAAAAUUUAAGCCAAAACCAAUCGAAUCCUUCUUCUCUCUCUCGCAGUUUUGUGGGUUUUUUUGCUUUUGCAUGUCAGAUCGUCAAAUACAGAGGAGAGGCUUCUGAAACAGAGAGCUAACAGUAGGAAGAAAGCUUAUAAUCUGAUUAGGAUCCAAAACUCCGAUCACAUCUUUUAUAAUCUGAAACAAGAUCUACGAGAAUCCGAUUACCAGUUCUUGAUUAGAAACUCUAUAUACAUAUUGUGUACCUAUAAUCUAUCUAUAUAUAUAUGUGGAUCCAAUUCAUCCCCUGCUUCCUGAAAAUUUCCUACAGCUGCUAAAAAGUGAGGAUGAUUGAUUCCACCGGAAUCUUCCGAUUCUCCAGGGGGAAAAAAGAACUGACAGGUAGAGAGGACAAUUGUGAAAUCGACGAUCUAGCUUUGCAUUGCCCCGCCAUUAAUUUUGAUCUCUAUGAUCCUCUUCAAUCUCCGAUCGGAAAGUACUUCCUCGCCUCCUGCGGCGGAGGUCGUCGUUUGAAGGAGAUUUCGGGGAUCAGGAAUCGCUGUAAUCGCGCCAGCAGAUGAGCAUGGUGACGCACCUGCGCAUGAUGUAGAACCUGGCGCGCUGUUCCUUGACAAGCCUAGCGCAUUUCCUAGAGAAGGAGCACCUCCGCUGCUGCUGCGAUGAAUUCUUCAUCAGAGGCGUUGUGGUGGUGGUGGGGUGGAGGAGGAAGAAGCGACGACGGCGGAGGAGGAGCGGGAGCUACUGGAGGAGGAUUCCUUCUUGGAGAGCUUCCACUUGGCGUGGAGGUAGAAGUGAGGGAGAGGAGCAGUGGUGACGUGAGCGAGCGUCGUCGUGGUACUACAGGCAGCCGCCAUUGUUUUGUGGAUCAGAGAUUCGAAGAAAGUGGGAGGAAAGGAGAUAAAGAAGAAAGGAAAAACAGUUGGGAUUUUGAGAGAGAGAGAGAGAGAGAGAUUGGGGGGAAGACCGAGUCAGAGAGCGAGUGAAGUGAGUGAAGAAGUGGGGAUAGGAAUCGUUGGGUUAGAUGGUUGCUAUUUAUAAUAAGUGAAAAAGUGAAGAGAUGGAGAGAAAUGUGGGUUUCACCUGGGCCUUGUAUCCAUAGGCCCAUCAUCUAUUUUGUUUUUGUUUUUGUUUUAUUCAUAUUAAUAUCUUUCGGAGUUGAUAUAAUAAUUACGUUAAUUAUCACAUAAUAAGUGUUUUGUCGUAAUAUAUAGUAUGGAAAGCACCAAACAUAUAUCUGAAUAGUCAAUGUGAUUUGUUAAAAGACCAUAUUGAUUGGGACAAGUCCGUACGAAAAAGAACACAUAAACUUAAUAAAUAUAUACUAUAAAAGUAAAAUAAUUAAACAUUAUAUGGUUAUCCAUUUAUGAGUACAAUUAGAUUUGAAUCGGAUACCAAUACUUACCAAAAAAAAUAAAGGGGAAAGUGGUAAGAAAUAGCCAAUGAAAGUGGUAAAAAAAACUAUACAAAUCCACCAAAUUUCAACCGUGAUUAUGUUAUACAAGUGUAAGUAGAACACACUGACUACCUAGACGGAGCAUUACUUAGUAUGCAUGCCUCAGCAUCACAAAGGGGUUUAAAUUUGAAUUGAAAAGAAGAAUGGUACGUAGGUGGGAGGUAUUAAAUGAAGUUAUAGAAUGUGAGGAGACACGUGAAGUGAUAAGACAAUGAGUGGGGAUCAUGUUAAAUCUGCCAUCUGAUCUUAAUAGUGCUUCCGUUUGCUCGUGUGGAUGGCAGGAUAGGAUUUGACGUCGAUGUGGUAGUGUGUAAACACUAGUUGGGGUGCCUUCAUGGGAUUUGACACAUCGCCCAUUUCUUCCCACUCCUAGCUCUUGUUGUUGUACCUCUCCUCCAUAAUCACAAUCCAUCAUGUGCUUUGGCGUAGCUACCAUCACUCUCAAAAAAUUCAAUGACUCGAGGCCGAAUAAGUGAGCACUUUACAUCACGUUCUUCAAAACGACACCUUGCACAAGCAAAGAGGUGUGUGUUAUAGUUUUAUGUAUAUUGGCUAAAUACCGUAUGGACGUACCAAAAUACGGUUGUGAUACUGGGCACUAAAACAAGACCGAAAUUAAACCCGGCAUCUUCAGUUUCGUCAACGGUCAACCAACUCUACAGCGUCAUGUGCAGAUAUUCAGAUUGCGGUUGGUUCUGUCGUGUAGCGGCUGAUCCUUGUUUGUUUUCCCUUUCCCCCCACAGUCAAAGCCCGCCGAUCAACGACGAGGGCAAAAAGAUGUUUCUGCUGCUGCAAAUGCAGAUGCAGAGAAGGCCAUUAUUGACAAUCAAAUUUCGAGCAGAGCCGCAACAAAGGUUAGGUUCACUGUAUCAUUACAUCAUAAAAAGUAAGUAACUGUACCACCGAUUUUUUAACGGCAUCAAAAGAAACAAAAACUGGUCAAUUCCCCCACCCCUGGGAUAAGAAUAUAGUCAAAAUCUGAUGUUGGGCGGCUGAAAAUAGUUAUUCACUCAGUCACUCCCAGCUCAGGAGAGGGAUCGAAUGGAUGUAUUCAUGUAGCUAACAGAGGAAAAACGUUUGCACUUUGCAGUCAGUUCUUGAUACUGGCAAUGGUUAAACCUCAUCCGCCCAUCUAAUUUUUCGAAGAGGUCUUGUAACAACACUUCAUUUUAAUCUUAGUUCAUGGGCUAUGGUUUGAGGGAUGAGUAAGGAAUAUGAUGUGAAUCUCAACAAUUCGAGUUAUUGAAAUACAACGAUUUAUAUUGAUAAUGAUAAAAUAAGUCAAAAUUUUGAUGGAGGGUGCUUAGACUGAUUAUAAAGCACAUGUAUUAGUUAGCAAGUAGCAAUAUCUAGAAGCGGGACCACAUGUAUUGCAAUCUUUAAUCUGCCAUGCUUACAAUUGGACAAAAGCUUAAACAACUACGUCCUUGUCCUAUCCGGUUUUGUCAAAUCAAAAUAGACUAUAUCUUAAUCCUUGUUCUGUCAGGACUUGCAGGACCACUCUAAAACUUUCAGUGAACAUGCAGCACUAAGGCAUCAUCAUCAUCAUCCCACGCAGACUUGCAGCGGAACAAAGUAUCAAACUUUGAACUCUCGUGCUAUAAAAUAACACCCUGUUGGUUUAGUUUAUGCUGUAAGUUGGGAUCAAGUUGGUGAACAGUCACAUGCCCUCCAUGUGAACAAAAGCUUCAAGGUUUUUGGGAGACAGACAGAAGUAGGCCAAUGUAAUUUCAUGAGUGUUGGUAGUAUGAGACUCACUAGUACCAUACUAUAUCAUAUAUAUGAUGUCACCAAAAUGGUGGUUUUGAAAAGAGCUGCACUUUAAGGGAACAGUAGACGUCGUUCCCCAGAUGUAUGUCUCUCUAAAGCAAACUAAGUUGGUGGUGAAGUUUUCUCCAUUGUCAGACUUUGUAUGCCCCAUUUGUUGGUGGUUUCCGAUAUAAAAAUCAAUUUGAAUCCUUUUCAAACAAUUUAGUUAUUGAGAAAUAAUAGUUUUUGACAUGAUAUCAGAACAACAGUUAUUAAAGUUGUACAAACUAGAAAAAACCAAUUUGAAUACUUUUUCAACAAUUUAAAUUAUUGAGACGCAAUAUUCUUCAUGAUAGUUUCUUCUUUUUGACAGAAACAAGUGGAGCCUGUUAAUAUUAACUUCAUGUACCAUCCCCAGCAGCAAUUAUGUUUUGGUCUAUGAUUCAACGGACAUCUCUCUACCAUAUGUCACUAGAUUUCAUUCUCUCUAAAUCCCCGGCAGCCUAAUUGGGUGGUGGCUCGUGACCACCAAAACAGGAAGGUAGUAAACAUGCAAAAAGUUUGAGCAUCAAAGCUUUUUGAGUCUGGAUUGAAUGCACCAGUGAUAGCAAGUUGGUGCUUCUGGAGGCAGAGGACUAAACACUCAAAAGAAAACAAUCAUUACAUUUUGGACGCCAGAGUUUCAGCCAUUUGUCAUGGAUGAUGAUGAUGAUCCAACAGCUCCAUUCAUUGGUUGCCCUAUUUUACAAGUAUGUUGGACCUUUUCCAACAAGUACUGUUAUAUAAAUGUUUCUUUGGGGAAGAGUUCAUGAACCUGAACCCAGCCAGUUGCAAUUGUACACUUUCUACUUUCUGCAAUUAAUAUAACACAAGAUGCGGCUUGAUCAAUUUGCAGACCCUAUUUCUAAACGGACGAAGUAGACCUUUUUGUUAAAGAAGAUGAUGAUGAAAGUAACGUAAGACAUUAGGUACAGACCACUUUCUCCAUAGAGAAAAUGGACCAAGUAGAUUGAAUCUGCAACCAUUUACUCGUUGGUUAUUUGAUUUCAGUAUCGUAAUGUCAUGAACCGUUGUAUACUAAAAAUUUGAGUUGUUUGAAGAGGGUUGGGAUUGGUUUCUAUAUUAUCCAUUAACAUGCCCCUUAAACGGAAUACACACAGAUUAGUGGGGGUAAACGGGACUGAAAACGGAGACCUCUCGACUUUUUUUCAGGCUUUCAUACCAUAUCAUGAGCCAUUGCAUCUCAACAACUCGAGUUACCGGAAGAGGGUUCAUAUAUCACGUAGAAUUCAUUGAGUAUGAUCAAAAGAGCAGAAAAGCUCUGCAAUCUUUUGUGGAUAUUUGAUUUAAAUUGCUCCAAAUGAUAGUAUCAAAUCUGAUCUAUAAUAUCUCACUUAUUCCAUCAAAUAUCUAGCUGUUGUCAAAUUUUGUAGCACUCAAAAUCGCCGGAUUGCUACAGAUGAACCAAAAGGGCCAAGUUAUCUGCACCUUUUGAAGAUUUCCAUGAGAUAAAUUAAAUCACAUUCUCAGAUACUGUUGUGUCAUUGUUUUGAUUCCAUAUCUUCAUUCCAAUUUCAACAGAUUAUUCUUCCAGACACGAUCCCUGGAUCUUUUCUUCUCUGUCGCCUUAUUGAGACUGGUUACUACUAAUCAUUGGUUGGCUUCCAAACUACUCAAAUAUAUUCCAGAAAAGAAACCUGCUGCUCUGGCUUGAAUACUGCAAAAUCUCUGAAAUGAAGGGUUCCUAUGUUAAAGAUGCAUGAUCUGAACUUCACAUGUGAAGCCAAGAUCGUCAUAUCAUGAUCAAAGGCCACCCCCACAGGUUUCAAUGGAUUUCAUUCAUUCUCACUUUGUAUGCAUGUAGUAGUUUCUAUUCACGGAUUUGGAGGAAGAUUUUGUUUCUAUUCUGCAACGUACAAGAUAUAGGAGAUUAUCAUGAUCUUUCAUUUCCAGGAUAGCAUUGACCCUUUGAAAGUGAAGAAUCCAAUACCAGAUUCAGUGUGAUAUUACAGCAUCAAAGUUGACGGAUCGGGUAUUGGUAUUUGAUCUAAUCACCAGCAACAGCAAAACCAAGAUGAUAUAAGAUUAUGAACAUGAAUUUAAGUUUAAAUGUCGAUUCAUAUAUAAAAAUUCCACAUAAACACUUUGAGAAUUUUACAUUGGAUUUUAUCAUUAUCAGAACAAGAGAUUGUGGACAGUGGUAUAAGUUUGGCCCACCCCAACUCUGCCAAUGGUCAUGAGGCUGGUGUAAUUUAACCAAGGGGCUAAGUUAGUGAUACUGAAUAUGAACACAUCCGCCCAAUCUUGUGUGUCUCAAGCUUAUAUUGAGAUGCAGUGGUUCAUGGCAUGAGCACAUCCAUCCGAUUUUUUGUGUAUCUUUAGUUUUUUGUGUUAAUGAAUUAUAAAAAAUUAAUAUUAAAUUUCUUUCAAUAACUAGAAUUCGUUCGUAACAUUGUAUUAGAACCUGUGAUGACCGACGUAUCAUGGUUUCGAAUAAUGGCUACCGCCUCAGUUAUCAAGUAAAGAAUACAUGCUACAUUACACACACAAAAAAGAGUUUAAAGAGCAAUAAUCAAUCCAAAAGAAACAAUAUAAAGACGACGACAGAGUGCUCUGUUUUUUAAUUCCUGUUUUCUGGGUUUUUCAUUCAAUGGCGCCGUCACAAAAAGAAAGGCACUGUUAGUUUAUGUAGGAGAGUAGGUCGAUAGCUCUCACAUGGCCGCCAUAUAAAGCAAAGAUGCUCCGAAAGUCGGUAAUUCUGCAUCACCAUAUUAAAACAGAGCUUUGUUAAUCAUAUCUCUGUUUGAAUCCAAAUUGGAUUUGGAUUUUCCCUGUUUCACUUACAGUUUUAUCCCAAGUUGAUCCUGAUUCUGGACAGAGCAUCUCAUAGGUUUGUCAGUUGCAGAAGUAAGGCUUCUGAGUUUGACCUGAUCUUAACGCCAUUUGCAGGCUUCACCAAGAAUCUAAAACGAGAUAUAGAGCUGCUGGGAAGCUAUCUAGCUAGGGGAAUAUUACAUAGUUUUAGGAUGCUAGCUUUGUCGGUUUAUACAAUCGGAUUAAUCAAAUUCCAUGGGUGUGUAUAUGUAAUCAUGAGCUCCAACUUUGCCGUAAUGAAUUCGAGUGUUUGUUUAAUCAUAAGAGCAGAGUCCCUAAAUGCAUGGCUUGCAUGUCGUAAGAUAGGGGAGCAUUCCUCCGCUGACUCAAAUCAAAAUUAGCAUCUUUGUUUUGUUCCGUACUAUUUUUUUAAUGUUAAUUAAGUUGUGUUUUUCCCCCUUAGUAUAUACCAAUUGGGCAACUUGACUAGUCAAAGUUCUCUUUCAAAUUUCCCACCAUUUAGGUUGUUAAAAUAGAAAUAAUAAGAUUAAUUUUAGUUACUUAAACCAAUGAAAAGAAAAGUAGAAACUCUGUUGGUCAAAUUUAAUCAACGUAUUUAGUAUAUCAAUUAGUCACAUGCAGUAGUGAAAACCUAAGCUUGUUUAUAUUGUUGUUUGUUCUAUAACUAGUUUCAGUUAUAUCGAUUGCAUAUCAACGGUAAUCGUUCGAUUAUUGCGAAAAUUGUUCCAUUUGUUUUUGAAUUUAUGUAGUUGUACGUCACAUAGAGCGUAAGAAGAUGUAAUAAGAAAUAUGUAAAAAUUCAAGGUUAGCGAAAUGCCGCAUCCUUGGAUUUAUAAUGGCCUGCUAAUGGACUGUAGAAGUCAUUGGGCCCAAAGAGAAUUAAGGCCCGAGGGCCAUGGAAAACUAUCCGUGUGAAGCAAUAAAAGGCUGCAGCCAUCUAUUACUGAUGAUUUACGUGGGCUUUGUUAUUGGCCCAUUAGAAAAUGAAACGAACCCAUUAGUGUAAAUAGCCAUGGUCAACACUAACACAACAGCAUACAUAAUAUUAACAUCCAUAAACUUUACUACCUCCUUCCGAACCACUUUCUUCAUAUUGGGAUUCAAACGUGGAUGAGGUUACACAAACGGAUUCGAAAUCAUCCUUCAUAAAAAUCUUGUAAUUACAAAAGAAUGGUCAAAUACCUCACAUAUUUCGGAGAAGAGCCGCAAGAAGCUCUUUCAUAUCAAAAGAAAUUACAAUACACUAAACGAUAACCAGAAGUUUCGAGUCAUCAUCGAGGAAGGCAUACUCAAAAUGCUUUGGUAAGUACUUCAGUUCAGCAACAUGUGGUCCGUAGCCUCCGCCCGCAUUGCACUAGAGAAUGUAAAUGGACCUCCAACACCACCUUUCAUUUAUUGCUGAACCCUGCCACUGGAUCUUUGACCCACGCAUCGGCUUGCUUCAAAUACUAUAUCUUACAUGGUGUACAACUACUUUGUCCUAUAUACUCAUGUACCACUAUUUACUCAUUACCAUUUUGUAAUGUACGUAGUUGUUGUGCACUCGCAUGUAACUUGUAUGUACUCAUGUCAUGUACAUGAGAAUGUGCGUAUAGUGUGUACAAAUUGUGCGGUCAAAUAUAGCAAUGUCUAUAUAUGUGUACAUGAUGAGCAUAUAGAAAUGUACAAACACAUGUACAUGAUUGCUUCGUAACCCUAUAUGAUCAUACAAAAAUUGAAGUUCCAUUUACAAGAUAAAUAUAUACGAGCAUGACUUGAUCAGAAGCUCUAGAAACCGAACAACUUCUAUAAGAAGGUGAUUGUACCCUUUUAGUUCAAAUCUUAUCGACUCUAAAUAGAUCCUGAAAGGUCUACAUUGAUCAUAUAUAAAUCUCAGUUGAGAGUUGUGAUGGACUUAAGUUUCAACCAUAGAAAGACGAGCCAGUAAUUAAAGACGCAAGUAGCUAGUCAGCAGAUUUGCAGAAAGAAUGCAGAGAAUCAAACUGAACAUAACCAGACGUAAACUUGAAAGAAAUGAACAACAGAUCCAAGAAGAGUACUGACUGGCACCCUAGUCACUAAUAUCCACUGGACAUUUAACAAAAACAUACAACUGAUCAUCAGUUUUGACUUUGUAUUAUUUGGCGGUACUGAUUGAUUAUCAAGCAGUCAGUCAAUCUAGGGGAAUCAAAUCACAACCAAAUCUCUCAUAUAUGUAAUUAUUACUGCAUGCUUGCUAUAUGGAUCUGCGUCCAAAUUCAGCAGAGAAAACGUAACCCCUUUCUGUCCACUGGGCAACAACAAGUAACCUUAAAAGAACAAAACUCAAAAUGAUCAACCUUGUAUUCUAUCCUUGAGACAGCACAAACACCAUUACAGAAGUUACAGCUAGAAAUAAGGCAAAAGUAAACCCAUAACCUGAAAUAGUGUAGGGGAAGACCUUGAGAUUGUGAACAUUAUAUUGUCAUCAACAAUUCCAAUCCCCAUAGACUAAAUGCUUCAUAUAUAGCUACACACCAUGUCUCCUAAAAGAAUAAUACAACACUAUACAAUAAUAUCCCCGAAUUCACCAGUCCGUAAGAAAAAAGCAAACCCAGUUAGUAGAUUUGUUUUUGUGAAUUCAAAGUAAUGAACUUUGGAAGUAAAAAUGUCGACAAACGACUGAGCAACUGCAGGAGGAGUAAGAGACGACAUUGAAUACAGUUUAGAUCCCACCAAAUGUACGAUUCCACUAUGUAAACCCAUUUCUCAAAAAACCCUAAAGACCAACCAGAAAAAAGAAGAGAAAGUAACCCAGAAUUACGCCAGUAAAAAGUAAAAUCAACCAUUCAUCUCAAAGAACCCCCAAAAGACAUACAAACUACGAAAAUAUAUACUGUAGUAUGAAAUUAGGUAGAGAGAGAGUGAGAUCCAGCAUAUCCAGACUGACCGGAAACAGUGCGGGGGGUCAGUUAUAUAAGAAGGUAGGCAGUGAUUGCCGCUGCAGCAUCAUCAAGAUUCCCAAUACCCCCGCCCAUGAAUGAUUUGGGCAAAAGUGAAAAAAAAAAAGCUUAUAAAGAUAAGCUCUUUUAUUUUAACUUUGCCUUUGUGGGUUUGUGAAUCUUGAUGAUGCUCCAAUAGCAAGCAGUGGCUGUUAUUGUUGUGAACCCUAACCCUAAUGAAUAUAUGGAUCUCAGAUCAGAAAGGAGAAGAAAAAAAGCGGUAUGGGUGUUAAGAAAGAGAGAGAGAUCAGCGUGGACUGAGGAGUAGUGGGUGGGAAAUGGAGAAAGGGGAUUGUAAGGGUAUAAAUACAGAAAACAGGAACCCAGGUACGAGUCCCAGCCCAGGUCAUUAUUGGAAUUUUAAGAAACAUAUAAGCAAGCAAAGGGAUGAUGAAUUAGGAAUAAGGGUAGGGAGUGGGGACUGUGGGCAGCUGGUUGGUGCUUGCUUUCUCACUCACACUGACAGAGAUAAAGACAACUUUUACAGAGAGAGAGAGAGAGAGAGAUAGAAUUUUAUUUACUUUGUCAGUUGGGACAGACAGCUUAUUUCUGAGAUAAAACUGAGAAAUAGUUAUAGAUAGAGCACCCACCCACCCACAGUUAUACAUCGCUAUCCUAGGUUAAUUUAUUACCCCAGAAUUGCCAAGCUCAUAUUACCUUCGUCAUUUUUUUUAUGUCUAAUGUGAAUUACUACUAGGCAUACAUUUCAAUUUUGAAAACAAAUUUCAUUGCUUUACGAUGGUGAGAUCCUUACGGUAAAAACAAUAACAAUUUUAUGGUGAUAAGGUCAUGGACCAGUGGCAGAUACAUGGUAGUGUUGGGGGAGCCGCGGCUCAAGGAAUUUUUGGUUUAGGGCGGUAAGUAUACAUUUACUAAAUUAUAUGUAAAGUUUGGAUGAUUUUAUAAUUCGGCUAAUGGUAUUUGAUGUUAUGCCCUUUUAAUUAUUUAUUUAUACUAACUCAUCUAUUAAAUUUUUAACGCUAUAAUGAACCUAUUAGUGAGUAAUAAUCAUAAUUUUAGUUCAAACAAUUUAAAUAUAUAAACGAAAAUGGCUGGUGACAUCAAUCUUCAAGGACAACUUGUUUUAACUGAAAAUAUUACACCGCAUUUGUUUCUUAUACAUUUUAAUUUAGUACUAAGUUUAAAAACGUAUUAAUCAAUUUGUUAUUCGAUACGCGAAUUUUCUAUUAAAAUCCUACUCGGUGCACAUUUCGAUCUUAAAUCCGUCAUUAUCGUGAACGAUGACUUAAGUACUCCUCUAUCACCUCCACUUCCUCCACCGGGCUACAUCUAUCACUAGAACUAAUAGCCUAACGACUAUGAUAGAAAAGGUUUUAUUAAGUAACCCACACUUUAAAUUUUGGGUCAACAUGACUCUUUAUCAAAUGAUCAUUCUUUANNNNNNNNNNNNUUUACCCAACCUCCGUUUUUGACAGCUCUACCAUAUGAUCACCAAAUAUGAGAGCAUAUUAAGGUCUUUGAAUUUUGAUGUGGAAAAUGAAUUGAAUCUCCUUCUCCCCCCAUUUACUCUUUUUGAUCGUGGGGGAGAGUCGCACGUUUUGUUGGGGUGGGGGGGGGGGGGGGGUUNNNNNNNNNNNNNNNNNGGGGGGGGGAUUUGGUUAUAAUAAGGCAACUGUGACUGUAAAAUUACAGUUUCCAUUCCCAGCCCAGAUUUCUCUUGACCACUUUUGCAAAUAUCUGAAACUGGGAAUUAUCAGAUUACAGGAUGAUGAUCACAAGUUGGUAGCGGUGGGUGAGCAGGCCCAGCCGGGUUGUACUACACAGUAAUUACCAAUUAAAUACACUAUUUCAAGUAAUUGGUUUCCAUCAUAUAAUAAAUACCAUGCACCAACCUAGCUACCUUUUAGCUGUUACUGCAUUUCUCUCACGUUUGAAGGCUGUAAGCUUGCAAGUCUCUGCAGUAAAUUUCAACUCUGUGUCGCGAUGCUAUAUAUCAAGUGGGUGAAUAUGAGAUGUUGAUAGUUGUUGGCAGAGUACAUAUAUCAAGUUGGGUCUAGGAGAGCUCAUGAAGAGAUAUUAAUGAAUUGGUGUUCAAGUGUCUCUUUGUCAGAUUGGUUGAGAUGGCCGAGUUGGUCUAAGGCGCCAGAUUAAGGUUCUGGUCCGAAAGGGCGUGGGUUCAAAUCCCACUCUCAACAAAUAUAUUUUUUUUUUCAAUGAAUUCUUCUCCUUCACAUUAAAUUUCUUUCAACUUUUGAUCCAAUUACGUCUCUUUGUUUGACAAUUAGUAGUGAUAACAGAUUCAAACAAAUGAAGCUUAUCAACCUUCGAAUGCAUUGUCUAUUCGAUUCAAAUUUGAUCGACAACCACAACUGCAAAUUUAAGAUGAACAAGUUGCACAAACAGAGUCCCUAUUGGUAGUUGUUCUUUCUUUCUUUUGAUAAUGUUUGACGUUUUGUGUUGGGUUUGCACAUGGGGAAUAUAUACAGGCAUUGUAUAGUUUAAAUUUUAGCACUGUUAGUUGAAUAAUAAGUAACAGUCUUUUACAUACUCUACAUAUGUACAGGGACAUUGUACGAUAUUAACCAUGCAUGACCCAAUGGGUUUCCUCAACAUGGGAGGAGAGUGAGUCGACCUGCAGAAGAAAACUCAUCUUUUUGGACAAAUUGUUCAUCUAUACGACAACGUACUAUAAUUUUUGGAGGCAUUGUUAUUCCAUGUUUGACUCAUACAUUUACCACCAUUUUCUCGACAUUGUGAAUCAAAGCAUGAUCUGCACUAUCUGCAGAUAUUCCCGGUCGAUUGUGUAAUCAAACCUAACCCGAAAUAAUUUCUCUAAUCGGCAUCUCAAACUUCGAGUUAAGCUUACAUGAUUCUAAUAUCAUAUAGCUGUAUGGUACGCAAGAUAAUUUUCAAUUUGAAAAGCUUUGUCUUUGUUGUGAUUCUCAUAUCCCAGCAUUAAAGCGAUUUUUAUCCUCGUGGGUUGACGUAUAAAAAAUGUGUGUAUGUUGGUCUUGGCCUUGAUCUAUUUUAUUUUUUCAUGCCUCUCAAUUUCUAGCAAAUGGUUUAUGGUGAUUGCAAUGUUGACCCUUGUUUGAAUAAUCGUUCUAACAGAUUUAUUUGAGAAAUUAAAAUAUCCAUAAAUGGUGGAUAUAUUGUAAGAGACAUGAAAAUUUAUUACAAUUAUCAUACGUAAGAAGGUUGUAUGGUGAGAAUGAAUUCCUUGUUGAGUAGUGACAUUGAAUCAAGAGCAUCUUUGAUUAAUUACAACAAUCCUUUCUUGUCAUACUUCAUAUGAUUUUUCAAAACAUAGUAUGGUACCAGAUGUGGACCUAAUUAGUACCAAUGCAUUAAUUAUUACCAAAUUGUUAAUUGUCCGGUAGCGGGAGAAUCUGCUUUUUUUUGCUUUUUAGCGUUCCACAGAGAGCCUCCCAGGUGAAAUGCAGCUUACUUAGUAGUGAUAAUUCUUCUUUAAUGGCAGACAUAAUUAACGAUAAUCACUGGUGAUAGUCACUAAUCAGACUGAAUGAAAAUUGAAACUGAGUGGGGAGCCAGUGAGAGACGAAUACGUGACGCUGAUGAGUCAGAAAUAUGUACGAUAGAUAGCGCGUGAAACACGGAGGAGUGGGGCCGUUUUCCAAAACAGACAUCCUCUUCCAUCCUCGUACGGCUUUACCUUUACUUUCUCUUUUUUAAUUAAUUACAUAUUUCUUUUUAAGUUUCUGCUGAUUAUUAUUUGGAUCUUCGGAAGUAGUUCAUGGGUGACCGUGCAGCGCCGAGGAGCGCGCGUGGUGGGUUUUGUGCAGAUCAACAGGCGUUCAUGAAUCAUUAUUAUAAAGAAUAUUUAUGAUUUAUAUAUAUANNNNNNNNNNNNNNNNNNNNNNNNNNNNNNNNNNNNNNNNNNNNNNNNNNNNNNNNNNNNNNNNNUCCUCUGUUACAGAUUCUGAUUUCACAGUGUCUACACAUAAAUAUGAAUCUGGAAAAUUUGAGCAUGUUCUCUUCACGAGCAUGUGUACUUUGUGCCCUUUUAUAGGUUUCACACAAGAACAAUAUCGACGUUUUCGGAAGAGUAUGAUAUUCGCACCGCUUCUGUAAGUCUUGUACGAUUGAUUAUGGGUUAUUGGGAUUUGAAACGGAAACUUCUCAAUCAUUUAAAACACCAAUGCCAUGUCGAGAUUUAUUGGAUCUCAAUAACCCAAGUGUUUAAGAAAAUGUUCAAUAUUGAUUUUAUAUUAUUUAAUUAUUAACAAACACUCGAUUUAAUUUAUUACAUAAUACCAAUUAUCUAUUAUUUGGCUACCAUGGCGGAAUUGGGGGUGAGCCAACCACGAUCUCCGCGUGUAUGAUCCAUAUUUCUAUAGCGACCAACCCCUAUGUUGAACUUGAAGUUUAUGUCAACUGUGUGCGCUUCAAACAUCACCCAAUGUACAUGUUUUGAAUUCAGCCGCAACCAACACUUGAAAAUCCAUUCAUAAUCUUUAACCAUCCUAAUUUCGUAUUUUAAGGUGAUCGAGGAGUUCAUACCGCCAUGUUAGGGUAAAUGAAAAGUAUAUGGAUGUACGUAGGUAGAGGAGAUGUGGGAAAGAGAUGUCAACAGUAGUGAAUGGUACAUAGAGUAUAUAUGAAACAAAUGUAAUAUCAGUACUAUGUGUGCAAGCAAUCCCAGGUUGCCCCAAAAUGGAAACCCUAAAGGAUCGUCGCUAUCCUAUCUAGCCUAUAUAUUUAUUCAUUAACGUAACUCCACUCCACUCCACUCCACUUUACCUUUCUCUCUAUGUGCACACGACUACUACAAACACACGUUAGUUCCAUCAUAACAUCACUAUCCUGACUCCUGAGAUUAUUAUUAUUAUUAUUAUUAUUAUUUGUAGUUAUUUAUGCAUGAUUCCAGUUUGCGCAUGAUGAUUAAAGGAAAUCUAGGCCAUAAAGCACAUAGACAAUAUCUAACAUCCUAGUUAGCUAGAUUUAGUUGAAUAUAUAAAUCGAUAAUAAAGGUUAUUACGGCCGGUUAUUUCUUGAAGUGUGAUUAAUAGCUUGACAACUAGCUAGUAAGCAUAUAUACAUAGCAUCUAACAAAGCCCACAUUAGUAGCAACUUCAUGGUAAUAAGAGGCCCUGGUAAGAAAUUUUUACUCGAAAACUUAAAAAUAAAAAAUACGACUAUGAGGUAUGUUGUACAAAUAAAAAUACCCUAAUCAAAACUAAAAAAUACCCGUAUUAAAAUUCAAAAAAAUAUCCAAAGUUUAUCUAGGGUAUCAUGAUUUCAAAUCCGAACAACUUUGGUGAUAUGAGCAUGGGGGCAUGCCCCCAAAUACGCAUCAUGGUCCAUACUAGCUUGGAUCCGGAUCCAAAACUUCCUUGUCAAAGCUCAUUAAAACUCUUGAUAGAAGAACCGAUGAACCACCGACACCAAUAUCCUAUAGGGGCACAACGGUUUUAGUUUAUCUGAGGCUGUAUAUGGUUUCACUAACAAAUGUGUAUAGACUAAUUAGGUCUCACCGUUACAAUUAACAUCACAUAUAUAUAUAGGAUUAGUCACUAAAUCGAUAAUUCAAAAAUUAGAACCAUAUAUACUCAUAGUCAUAUCCUAAUAAUUAGUCCUCUGGGCACUACAACAUACAUUGAAUAUCAAAAAUGAUAUUUAAUGCAUAUUAUAUUCUUGCGAGUCUAUAUGACCGAUCGCAUGAAAAGUAGCCCAAAUCACUAAUUAAUAUCAACGCAUGGACCAUAUAACCCGUUUAUAUAUCAUAAAAUAUGGAUCACUAGAGCAAUAACACGAAAGAUAUGGUCAGAACAUAAAAAGGUCAAACGAGUAAAUUAUGAUGUGGCCUAGUACAAAUGUCUGAUCGAUAAUGGUGAUUGGGAUGGGAAGAUAAAUAAUGGUGUGGGAAUCAGAAUCAGAAUCAGUCACGUUUGAGUGUGUCGUGGUCGUACGUCGUCGUCCCCUAGCUAUAAUAAUGGUUAGCUGGCUUUUGUUUUUGUUUUGAUGAAACGGAGCAUAGCCACGAAUUUUUGGGUAGUUGUGUGUUGAAGUUUAGUUUACAUCUACGUUGUGGUUGGCAACGAACAUGGAAAACUGAAAUCACAACUCAAUGGAUAGGUUUUUGGAUGGUUUCACGUUGGCCGGCCGGCCGGGUCCGCUGCUUCAGGAGAAUGAUCAUCAUCAUAUCUAUCUUUUUUGACCUUUUCCUUUUUGUAUAUUUAAUAAUUACAAGAAGAAAAAGGUUAUAACCUGACCAGCUCUGAUGAUCUGAUCUGAUGAAAUAUUAUCAACCCUACCAUGCACAGCUAGCUAUGCCUGGUUUGGGACAGCUAGAACAACUACUACUGUGUGGCUGUGGGGUUAUUGUUCAUCAAAGUAAAAACUCUGCCUCUUUCACCUUUCCAUUUACGUCCACUGUCAAAGUUUUCCCCUUUUUAUCUGGUGGGUUGUUUCCUGUUACUUAUUUUUAAUUAACAGUCAAUUCAGACAAUGGAAUCAAUCAAACCAAUGUUGUGAAACCAGGGAUAGAGAUUCAACCAAGAUUAUUGGUAAGCUAUUAUUCGGUUAGAUGGAAAUUAGUGUAAGUCUGCAUGCAUUUGUUCUUUGUUUCAUUUCCAAAAGACAUAUAUUAAUUUAUCGAUGCGUUAUUUCAAUUGUAAUCCGAACAAUUAACUCGUCAACCAUAUUGCUUAACGAGUCUUGUAUAUGCACAAGAAAUCACACUCCCGAGUGUUGUGGUAUAUUUGUAAACUAGUGUUUGCCAAACUCAUAUAGCAUUAAUAAGAGUACCAUUUAUUUUUGAAAAAAGAAAUUUAUUAUAUGUAUGUAUUUCUAAAGGAAUUAGUCUUAAAUGUUGAUAAAUCUAUAUUGAAAUUGUAAAAAAAAAAAAGAGGAAGAGGAGUAAAUGCAGCUGGCCUUGGUUACAGUUUCAUGAGAAGGUGCAGACGAACAAUGAUGGUGAUCGUGGAUCGGGAUGGGAUGGGAUGGGUGGAGAUGGUGAUAGACUGAUAGCAAAUGCAACUGGGAAUCAAAUGAUGAUGAUGAUGAUCCCAUCUCAUGCACAUGUCAUGUAUAUGUAACGCCCUGUUUUCCCUAUAUUUUUUUUAGCAGGUGAGGAUUUUAUAAAACUAUACUCUACAACAAGUAAAAUAUGAUAACAUUGCAUGAAAUUUUUUUGCGAUUAGAAAACUACUGGUAACGACGAUGAAAAUUUCACUAUAAUCAAAGAGUUUGAUUCGUACAAAAUUAUAGAAGGUUAGCAUUUAAUUUGUAUGAUGUAAUAAAAACGGAUCAACUUUAUGGGUCGUUUGGAUAAUGAUUUGGGCGUGAUAUUUUGGUCGAAAUAAUUUGUUUUGAGUUAUUUGAGUCAAAAUAUCUCGUUUAGAAUCCAACACAAAAUAUGUGGUAUUUCGGACCAUGGUAUUUCAAAUAACCCACUUUCAAGUUAUUUUCAAAUACCUCAUCGAAAUAAUUCGUUUGGCAAUCAAAACAAAAUAUGUGGCAUUUCGAGAUGUGAUAUUUGAAAUAACUUAUUUUUAGUUAUUUCAAAUAACUCCCCACCAUCUAGAUAUUUGAAAUACCUCAUUAUUUCAAAAAUAUGGUAUUUCCGUUACCAAAUAUCACAUUGAAUAACUAAUUAGCCAAACAAGAUAAUUCUCAUACCACAAAGCCUUUGCACCACAUAAAUACCACAUUCUCAAAUAACUCAUAAUUUUAUUCCAAAAUACCAAAUAUCCAAAAUACCUCAUCAUAUUAGAAAUGCUAGAACCUCAAAGGUUGCACUAGUUUAUUGGAUUAGUCUUUUUUUUUUGAAAAAACAGUCUAAUUUUUUAUUUUGUCAAAAUUAAACAAAAUAAGGAUAUAAUCAUUUAGAAAAAUAUUGAUGUUCAUAUCUCUAAAAUCGUUAAUACAUGAUACAACCAACCAUUACUACUCUACUUCACAAAAACUUUUACAAGAGAAAGAAAAAUAACAUAAACAUAAAAACCAAUCUGGUAUUGAUUUCUGUUUAACAUGCAGUUGGGCUAAUAUCAAAAUAUCAUGCAGUUGGGCAUGGGACGAUAUUCGUUAUCACCUCCAUCCUAACAUCGGGCCAGAACUGUGGCAAAAACUCCGAUUGGGCCAUCUAGGCCCAAAUAACUAUCUCAAAUUUACGGGUGAAAAAAUCGGUUUUCCUGAGUUUGAAACAACCCGACCCACAACAUGAUUUUCGCCUUUCUAUUACCAAAUAAUUAGUUAUGAGGAAUGAUGUAGGGGUUGAAAUUGGUUAGUGGUUAGUAAUUAUAAUUGUUAACCACAUAAAUAUUUAUGAUUUGUGUUUGACUACUAACCUUACGUGUGAUUAGAAGUGUGGUUUGUAAUAAAGAUUUUGUUAAUUUUAUUGUUAGUGGUGUAACUGUAAACUGAAUGAUUAAUAAAUAUUAAACUGAAUUAACCACAUAUUAAUACAAAAUUUUAUUUUCUAUUUUCUAACCUAAAACUCUAAAACCUGAUCUAAUAUGAAAAUUGAAGAGUCAUCGUUUUCUGACUAUAAUGAACAAAAGUUAUGAUAUAGCUUGGUUGGUGAUAAAUAUAUUGAUUUUACUUUGUGAACAAAAUAAAUUACAACUUAAAUACAUCUUUGGUUGUAUGGUGAAACAUAAUGGAAUUGUGAACAUGAGUUUAGUUGUCUUGUUCAAUGGUUGAAUAGUGAUUGUGAUUGCUGAAUAUAAACUUAGUUAUUCUCACUAGUCAUUACUCGUUAGUUUGUUAUGUUGAUUUAUAUAAUGUUGAUGUUUGAAAAUUUAAAAUUUGUUGGAAUUUUAAUUGGAAUUUUGUUUGAAUUUUAUUGAAAUAUGAGAUGAAUUAGUUUUGUGAUUAACCACUAAAUUAAUCGCAAAAUUAUAAUAAAAUUAAUGAUUAAUUGUAAAUAAAAGAGGUGUGGUUUUCUAUAAGGAUUUUGACUUAUUUGUGAUGUGGUUGACCACAUAAAACGAUUCGGUUAACCACAAAUUGAACCACUUCCGCCGGAGCGAGUAGCUGCAAAGUCCAGAAAGGAAAAGCUUUAGGGAGCCCGUCCCCUUUACCACUCUGUUCACUCCUGAAUUUGAGCUUCCGGCCACUUACCGGAGGCGUCGGAGGAGCUAAAAUGCCAUUCAUAUCGCAGAUACAGAGGCAGUCCGAUUACUCACUCAUCCCUUCUGACACCCCAAUCGUCAUCGACAACGGCGCUUCCUAUUUCCGCAUCGGGUAAACGAUACGGAAACCCUAAUUUUGGCUGUCUGCAGCAGAUCAUAUGCAUAAUGCUUGCAUUUGUUUGCUUUAGAAACAUCUAUGUUUGUAAUGUUAGUUUGUUCCCCUCAAUUUUGUACUGGCAGGUGGGCUGGAGAGACCGAACCUCGGAUUAUUUUCCGCAACAUUGUCCAGAGGCCUCGCCAUAAGGCCACCGGCGAGUCAUUUUCUUUAUUCACCUUGUUGCCAUUUUAGUUCUGUUGCUUGGUUGCGUUGAAUAGUUCGAGUAUUUCUGAGAGGUUGUAACUUGUAAGGCUGCAGUUAUUAAGUAGGUCUUUGUAUCCUGUUAUUGUAGGUGAAACGGUGACUAUUGUUGGUGACCAUGACCCCGCAUUACUGAGAUACUUUGACUGCACUCGGUCUGGGCCGCGCUCUGCUUUCGAAAACAAUGUUGUUUUCCAGUUUGAGAUAAUGGAAUAUGUAAGUUUUAGCAUAGGGUCAUCGAAUUUGUCAUUAUCUUUCAACUUGGUGGUAAGCAGUUUAAUUCCUUAAUAUGGAUGUCCCGCGAUGGUUAGAGUCAUAGAAUUGAGUUUAUCACAGAACCUUCAAAUAUUCAGCGUCUUGUGCACUGUUCCACUGUCAGUGACUGGCUCUAGUUUGUUCAAUUUUCUAGUUUGAACUUGCUGGUCUAGCUGUUUCUAUCACCGGCUAAAUGUCUUCUGUUAUUCUUGUAGAUUCUCGACUUUGCGUUUGACCGGCUUGGAGCAAAUGGUUCACAGGUAUAUUAGAAAGUUUGUUUGCCAGAUAGUGCAAAGGCACCCUGUACUAGCUGUUUAAUGAUCUGUUCCUUUUGAGCACAGAACAGAUUGAUCAUCCUGUCCUGAUCACUGAAUGCGCCUGCAAUCCAGUACAUUCCCGCAGUAAAAUGGCAGAGCUUUUGUUUGAGACGUAUGGAGUUCCAUCAGUUGGUAUAAGUCAGAGCCCUUGUUGAUUAGACAGCUCUCCACACAUUUCAGUGGAUAAAUUUCUUAUCUGUUCUUUUCUAAACAAUGAACCUUGUUUUUCCUUUCACUUAAAAGCAUUUGGGGUUGAUGCGGCAUUCAGCUACAAGUACAAUCAACGGCAGGGAGUUUGCAAUCAAGAUGGGCUUGCUAUAUGCCCUGGAUUUAAUACAACCCACGUUAUUCCUGUAUGCUCUCUAUACUUGUGUUGGCUUGUUUUUAUUCCUCUGGGAGUGCAAUCUUUUUAAUGGCAAUAGCACUUUGUAACAUGCCGUUGUUUCUGAUCUGGUUUUUAUUCUCCUAGUUCAUUGCUGGAGAGCCAGUUUAUAAAGGAUGUUCACGGACUAACAUUGGUGGCUAUCAUGUUACUGACUACAUGAAGCAACUGCUUGCACUGAAGUACCCUCAUCACUUGUUAGUGUUUCUGCAUUAGACUCCGAUUCCAGCAUGUUACUAUUUAUGAUAAAGAAUUCUGUUAUUGCUUUCUAUAACAUGACUCCUGUGUAUUAGGGCCCGAUUUACAUGGGAGAAGGUUGAAGACCUAAAAAUGGAGCACUGCUAUAUUGCAUCAAACUAUGCUUCAGAAGCCCAGUUUUUUCAGGUAAUAUGCUCACCUCUUAUUCUGUCCACUAGUAUUCAAAUGUUUGUACUUGACCUAUUGCAGUUAUGUUACAGAAAGGGACUAAGGAAGCUGAAGAUAAAAGUAGGUAUUGGCAGCUUCCAUGGGUUCCGCCACCAGUUGAAGAGCCCCCUUCAGAAGAAGAGGUCGCCAGAAAGGCUGCCAUAAAGGAAAGGCAAGGUCAAAGGUUGCGAGAAAUGGCUGAAGCAAAGAGGUCAUCCAGGAUUAAUGAACUAGAGAACGAAUUGCGUGGUCUGGAAUUUCUCUUGCAUCAGCUUGAACAAGUGGAAGAGCACUCGAUUCCAAGUUUCCUCAGAGAGACCGGCUAUCUUUCCAAGGAGGAGAUAGAGGCCUCUGUUAACAAGGUGAUGCAGUCUCUACGGAAAGCUAAAGGAGAUCCAAAAGCUGAACAGUCUGAAGCUGAAGAAAAGACCGAAUCUUCAAGUGAAAAAUAUCCUCUAGUAAAUAUUCCUGACAACAUGCUGACCCCUGAUCAGGUAGGCUACUAAUUUUUACAUAUUUGUGUUGCCAUUUCCUUUCGAAUUGAAAUAUUGAGAACGUUUAUGGUGCUUUGCUGGCAGCUCAAGGAAAAGAGAAGGCAACUGUUCCUUAAAACCACAUCUGAUGGUCGACAACGAGCAAAGCAGAAACGUCUAGAAGAAGAAUUAGAACGAGAAAAAAGAAAUCAGCUAGAUGAAGAAAGACGCUUGUAUCUAUCUAACCCACCUACUGCAACUUUAUCUAAUUUCUGCAUGUGUUGUGUUGAUCAUUUAGCUUACUUCUUUCUUUCCUCUACUGUAGAGAGAACCCAGAGCUUUACUUAGAGCAGACACAUGCUAGGUACAAGGAACUCUCCGAGAGAGUUGAUCAGCGGAAAAGGUUGAAAACUAACGGCAAUAACUCGAAUGGGAACUCUGGCGGUAUUGGUCGUGGCGAGAGAUUAAACGCUGCUCAAAGGGAAAGAAUGCGACUUCUGACAACAGCAGCAUUCGAUCGAGGGAAGGGUGAGGAUACAUUUGGUGCUAGAGAUGAGGAUUGGCAAUUAUAUAAGUUAAUGAGCAAAGACAAUGAUGAUGAUGAAGAUGGACCGGAUGAAGUUGAAGUAGAGCUGGCACGCGUUUCUUCCAGGCUUCAGGUAACUUUAGUAAGACCUAUCAUCUAUGAUAUCUAAAACGUUUAUCCCUUCUGUCGUUCUUGCAUUCUUAUCUGAUUUACUGUAUCAUCACCUAACAGGAAAUAGACCCAACAUUUGUGCCGAAAUCAGAAGCAGGAACCUCCCAGCCUACUUCUGAGGUACCGAAGCUCCGUCCACUAACCCAGGAAGACUUCAAGAUUGUGUUUGGGGUCGAAAGGUUUCGAUGCCCUGAAAUCCUGUUUAAUCCCAACCUAGUGGGGAUCGAUCAGGCCGGGGUGGAUGAGAUGGCAGGAGUUUCGAUCAGGAGGUUGCCGGACAAGGAUGAGGAAUUGGAGAAGAAAUUGACGAGCUCGAUUCUUAUGACUGGCGGAAGCUGCUUGUAUCCUGGUAUGUGCGAGAGAUUGGAAGCUGGGAUUCGGAUGAUUCAGCCAUGUGGAGCCCCGAUUAAGGUAGCGAGAGCACUGGAUCCGAUUCUUGACGCUUGGCGAGGAGCUUCGGCAUAUGCUUCAGCAGUGCAGUUUCCGCAGCAAACCUUUACUAGGAAGGAUUAUCUUGAGAAAGGCGAAGAUUGGCUUCGCGGAUACAAGUUUCGGUACAAUUUGUAACUGUGAAUUUAUUUUAGGCUGUAAUCUGUUGUAACAGAACCUAACUAACGAUGUCAAUUUUCCUCAAUUAGUUGCCUUUUCUAGUCAAAUUCAUCUGUUCUUUUCAGCUAUUGCAAUGGCAUACAUAAUUUGAUUAGUUUCAUACUUCCAGUUUGCGGUUCGGCCCAGAUCGAAUUGCAGGGAUACAUAAUGUUUGUUCAGCUUGCAGAGAUAUGAAAAAUAAGCAUUAUUGCAAGGAAGAAGGAAGAGUACAAGUAAUCAAUUCUGCGGACUGCAGUAAACCAAAAUAUGAAAUAAUUAAUAACCUGUUAUAAUUUAUCCUCCUCAAGUGGCAAAUAUAGACAGUAUAGGUAUCUACAACUGGUAAAUUUACAUAUAGAGAGACCAAAGUGAACUCUAGUUUGGCAGAGAUUGAUCAUCAUCGAAUGUGAGUCCGUCCCAGCGACCAAAGGCCUGUAUCCUUAACCGGCGCCUGUAACAGUAAUUAACAAAUCGUAACAUGUUAAUCUUAUGAAAAUUGUCAUCAUUAGCUUCAGAACAAAGUUUUUUCUUGUAUAUGCAAUCUUACAGGUGCUUUCAUGGAUGGGAAGACAUUCCAGAACCGCAGAGUUUCGUCUCCUGCUCCAGUUACUAUGGUCUGCAAAACAACACCCCAUAUAAUUUUAACAAAAAUGCACAAAAGUUUUCGAAUUUACGAAAUCGAACACAACCCAUAAUCCAAUUACCUGGCCAUCAGGCGACAUGGCGAGGUACAGAACCCGCAAACUGUGUCCAGUCAGAGUUGCAACCUAUACCCAGAAAAGAAAAUAUACACUUAACCAGACUACUAAAGAUAUUUAUGGCAGUGUUUGUUUAGGCAAGAAAAUCAGUUGAUCAGACCUUUGAUAAAGACGGAUACUUCCACACCAUAAUUUGGUUCUGGGAAUACCCAUGAGUGCUCACCAACUCAUUCACGUUCUUGCUCCACCCAAGAUUGCAUACCUGCAACCACCAAUACUCAUUUAGAACUGACAGAUUGAAAUUUCAGGCCACAAAAGUAGAAAUUAUAUCGAAGGGGACGAACCUGGCUACCGGUAUCGAUAUGGUUUAACUGGUGACCGCUGGUGGUGUUCCAGAAGCGAAUGCAUCUGUCUGCAGUUCCUCCUCCAGAUGCAAGGAGACCACUCUGGUGAGGUGACCAUGCAAUCGCCUUCACUGCAGCUGUGUGCUCUGUCAGCUUCAGAAUCGGCUGCUGCGAGUGCUGGUUCCAUACUAGGAGCUAAAGAAGUAGACAAGUUAAUGACCCAGUUUACUAUGUGCAUUCAGGAUAAAUAAUCAUUCUGAAUCGGAAUCGCAAGCUACCUGGUUGUCAUUUCCACCAGAUGCAAGCUCUCUGUCAUCAUGAGACCAUUUUAAGCCGCACACCUGCCAAAAAGAUGAAGUCCCAAAUCAGUAAAACUUAUUUCUAGUCCAUGAAACUGUGGAAUGUGUAGACCAAGUUGGAUAGAGCUAACGCACCUCAGAUUUAUGGCCAACAAGCUUGCUAACAUAGUCUCCGGGGACACGAAGAUCAUGCUGAAGUAUGUUCCUAUCCCUGCUUCCUGAUGCCAGAACCCGAGAAUUCCAUGCUAGAACACCAGUCCUAGUCUGAUGCCCACCCAUUGUCCUCACUCUCUUGCACUGAGUUCCAUCCCACACCUGUCAUUACACCAAAUUUCACAAAUUUUUACUCUUUUGAUAAUCUCAGCUACUGAAUAUCGAACUGAUCGCGAAUAUAACAAUGAAAGUACCUGUACUUGCCCAAAAUGGGUGCCAACUGAUAUAUAGGACCCUUCCUUGGUCCAUUGAACUGAACACACACUGUCAUUAGGUCCUAAAUCACACAACUUGGUCACCUAAUAACACAAAAACAAACAAUUUCUACUUCAAUUCUGAAAACCACACUACAAAUGGGACAGUACAAGUCGGCUNNNNNNNNNNNNNNNNNNNNNNNUAUCUCUAAAGUUACAAACUGAGACAAAUUGAAGUACUUUCCCCCUCACCUUGUGAGGAGUCUUGGGGACCUUUCUGGAAGGCUUAGGCGGCGUCGAACCUUCGUUACUACUUCCACUGUCCUGCCUCAGAAUCGACGGCGAGUACGGAGAAUUAGGCCCACCGGAAUGAUCCUUCUUAAAUCUAAGCAUAUUUGGACUUCCCAAACCACCUGCAGGGGAAGAAGAGGCGAAAUCAGAUCCGAAAAGCUCACACUUCAGUAAUCUAGCAUAAGUACUAUCACUCCCUCCUCCUCCUUCUUUAACAGGGGAACCAGACGACGGUGUAUCCAGAAGCCCGAAGGCGUGCAGCCUGGAAGCCGAUCGGCAAGUUAUAACCUAUGCGCCGCAAGUGGAGGACUUGGACGACGGGGACGAGAGGCUGGCGAUCUCCCGCGGGGAGGACACCGAGACGACUCGAAACGCAGGGGAGGAAGGAGAUGGAGAUUUCUUGGAGAUGGUUUCGAGGCGGAGGGAGGUCUGGUUCAUCCCAGCUGGGAGGUUGAGCCCGCUGCUCUUCCUUCACGAUGGCGUUUCCAUUUUAUCUACAACUGGUAAAUUUACAUAUAGAGAGACCAAAGUGAACUCUAGUUUGGCAGAGAUUGAUCAUCAUCGAAUGUGAGUCCGUCCCAGCGACCAAAGGCCUGUAUCCUUAACCGGCGCCUGUAACAGUAAUUAACAAAUCGUAACAUGUUAAUCUUAUGAAAAUUGUCAUCAUUAGCUUCAGAACAAAGUUUUUUCUUGUAUAUGCAAUCUUACAGGUGCUUUCAUGGAUGGGAAGACAUUCCAGAACCGCAGAGUUUCGUCUCCUGCUCCAGUUACUAUGGUCUGCAAAACAACACCCCAUAUAAUUUUAACAAAAAUGCACAAAAGUUUUCGAAUUUACGAAAUCGAACACAACCCAUAAUCCAAUUACCUGGCCAUCAGGCGACAUGGCGAGGUACAGAACCCGCAAACUGUGUCCAGUCAGAGUUGCAACCUAUACCCAGAAAAGAAAAUAUACACUUAACCAGACUACUAAAGAUAUUUAUGGCAGUGUUUGUUUAGGCAAGAAAAUCAGUUGAUCAGACCUUUGAUAAAGACGGAUACUUCCACACCAUAAUUUGGUUCUGGGAAUACCCAUGAGUGCUCACCAACUCAUUCACGUUCUUGCUCCACCCAAGAUUGCAUACCUGCAACCACCAAUACUCAUUUAGAACUGACAGAUUGAAAUUUCAGGCCACAAAAGUAGAAAUUAUAUCGAAGGGGACGAACCUGGCUACCGGUAUCGAUAUGGUUUAACUGGUGACCGCUGGUGGUGUUCCAGAAGCGAAUGCAUCUGUCUGCAGUUCCUCCUCCAGAUGCAAGGAGACCACUCUGGUGAGGUGACCAUGCAAUCGCCUUCACUGCAGCUGUGUGCUCUGUCAGCUUCAGAAUCGGCUGCUGCGAGUGCUGGUUCCAUACUAGGAGCUAAAGAAGUAGACAAGUUAAUGACCCAGUUUACUAUGUGCAUUCAGGAUAAAUAAUCAUUCUGAAUCGGAAUCGCAAGCUACCUGGUUGUCAUUUCCACCAGAUGCAAGCUCUCUGUCAUCAUGAGACCAUUUUAAGCCGCACACCUGCCAAAAAGAUGAAGUCCCAAAUCAGUAAAACUUAUUUCUAGUCCAUGAAACUGUGGAAUGUGUAGACCAAGUUGGAUAGAGCUAACGCACCUCAGAUUUAUGGCCAACAAGCUUGCUAACAUAGUCUCCGGGGACACGAAGAUCAUGCUGAAGUAUGUUCCUAUCCCUGCUUCCUGAUGCCAGAACCCGAGAAUUCCAUGCUAGAACACCAGUCCUAGUCUGAUGCCCACCCAUUGUCCUCACUCUCUUGCACUGAGUUCCAUCCCACACCUGUCAUUACACCAAAUUUCACAAAUUUUUACUCUUUUGAUAAUCUCAGCUACUGAAUAUCGAACUGAUCGCGAAUAUAACAAUGAAAGUACCUGUACUUGCCCAAAAUGGGUGCCAACUGAUAUAUAGGACCCUUCCUUGGUCCAUUGAACUGAACACACACUGUCAUUAGGUCCUAAAUCACACAACUUGGUCACCUAAUAACACAAAAACAAACAAUUUCUACUUCAAUUCUGAAAACCACACUACAAAUUUUACAGUUCAAGUCGGCUGAAGAUUCAUACAGUGGCAAAAUUAAGCUUACUUUGCUGUUUGAUGCGGACCAUAAAUAAACACAAGUUCCCAACCCAACUGCAAGAACGUUCUGAGAGGACCAAUCCACCACGUUCAGAUAGAAGUCAUCUUGCAAAGAUGGUGCAUCCAAAACCUGCAUCAACACAACUAAAAAAAUUCAAACCCUUAACCCCUAAAAAUAUCUCUAAAGUUACAAACUGAGACAAAUUGAAGUACUUUCCCCCUCACCUUGUGAGGAGUCUUGGGGACCUUUCUGGAAGGCUUAGGCGGCGUCGAACCUUCGUUACUACUUCCACUGUCCUGCCUCAGAAUCGACGGCGAGUACGGAGAAUUAGGCCCACCGGAAUGAUCCUUCUUAAAUCUAAGCAUAUUUGGACUUCCCAAACCACCUGCAGGGGAAGAAGAGGCGAAAUCAGAUCCGAAAAGCUCACACUUCAGUAAUCUAGCAUAAGUACUAUCACUCCCUCCUCCUCCUUCUUUAACAGGGGAACCAGACGACGGUGUAUCCAGAAGCCCGAAGGCGUGCAGCCUGGAAGCCGAUCGGCAAGGUAUGAACCGAUCGCCGCAAGUGGAGGACUUGGACGACGGGGACGAGAGGCUGGCGAUCUCCCGCGGGGAGGACACCGAGACGACUCGAAACGCAGGGGAGGAAGGAGAUGGAGAUUUCUUGGAGAUGGUUUCGAGGCGGAGGGAGGUCUGGUUCAUCCCAGCUGGGAGGUUGAGCCCGCUGCUCUUCCUUCUCGAUGGCGUUUCCAUUUUUGCUUUUUCUGAUUUGCGAUUAGGAGGAAGAAUCGAGAUUGAAUCGUGAGAAAAAUGGGAAGUGAUAUCGCCUCUCUGUGUGGAGAAGCAGAGAGGGAUUUCUUCUUCUUUCCGGUGGAAAUUUGCAGAGAAUGGCGUGGGAAAUGGAUUUUGCAACGGUCGAAUUUGGAGUGAAGAUGUAGGAAGGAGCGGGCGGGUCGGAUUUCCCAACGGUCAUUUUUUCACGGCUCGCAACCCAAUAUAUUACAGAUAUCAAUGCUUGUUGGGAAAUAGUAACAUGUUUUCCGCGCUAAUUCGAGCUGCUUUCGGAUGUUUAUAAUGGGAUUUUAUUGGAUUUGGGGUUUUAUUCCGUUUAAUUUCAAUUACCGAAUUUCGAUUAGAGAGGUUGGAAAUUGCUAAAUAUUAUUGACAAAAAUUUGAUGGAUUUAGGGAUUUUUGUCGGCAUUGUAGGUGAAAUAGCCGAAUACGACACGUACAAAUAACUUCUUUAAAAGAAGCAGUAUUCUUAAUAACUUAAUUGUUACCUGAUUAAUCUGUUCGAUUGUGAAAUUUUUUAUCCAACCUCUAGCUCGGACUGAUUUGUUAAAACAUUACUACAAAAAAAUUAUCUAGGUCGAUAUAAACUACCGUUUAUCUCUCAUUAUUCAAACCGUUUAAUUCAAUUUUUGAUACAGGUCCUCAUUCAACCUCUUACUGUUGACCACUCUCGUUCGACAAGAGUGAAAGACGAAUAAUCGUUAGAAAUUAGAAAUGAAGAAAUUGUGAAACCUCACAUAAAACAGGUCACUAAACAAUAAUAAUACAACUUCUGCAGUUCUACUGAAUAAAUAAGAAAAGUUGGAUUCUUCCUAUGAAGUGAAGAUGAACUUGAGAGAGUGAGAAAGUAUGGAUUCCCACGGCAAGCUUUGCAACUGCAGUUAUUCCUGGAAAUGCACCGGCAAGUUUGAAUCGUUUUUACUACUGAAAGCCUUGACAUAUCAAGUAGAUCUCUCUCGAUGACGAUCGUGUUGCCUUGGGCCGUAGCCACGACGCUUUUCUGAAGAGCGGCUUGCAAAUCUUGCUGAAUUCUGCACCAGAAAACCAAUUCUUUUGUUGGAACUAAAAAACGAAAUAUUGGAUCUUGUGCAGUUUUGCUCAGGAUCACGAAUAAGCAUUUAUUCUCACCCUGGAUAUCCUCGCUCUCUAGAAGCUUGAUUACUAGGUGGCCACCCGACAACAGUACACCUCUACCAUUUGUAUCAGAAGCAGAUGAUUCAUCUACCAGCAAUUCGGCUUCUUGAUCAUCAGGAUGGACUGAUGCUGCUGUUCUACCAACUGCGAGAUCGAGUGCUCGCAUUCCUAGCUCCAUGGACAAUGCUGCAUCUUUGGUUGUAAUCCCAGAGACUGAAGGGCACAUGUCUGAUAAUAUGAUCGAAAAUCCUCUUUGCUGCAGAACAACACAGAAGCAAGCAAAUUCUGGAGCUUUACUUGUUGAUAAACUUAAGAGAAAGCAGCCAUCGGAUAUUACAAUGAAAGAGCAUCACACUUGGACGAGGAAUAAAUGCUUAUAUAAGUCCCAAAUACUCUCAUCUCUUAUAGCUAACAGAUUCAAAGCCAAGCACAUAUUCGACCGAAUAAAUUGCGUACACCAGUGUCAUUUGCAUUUAGUUGCGAAAGAAAUGUUCAAAACAAGAAAAUGUUGCAAAAGAGUUCACAUUAGUUCUUCUGCAAAUCCAGCCACUAUAUCCACACAAAGAUGAAUUAAACAACCAACUUAGAGCAAAUGGAUUGAUUCAAUCUACUAUUAUUCAUAGAUGCCAACAUUUCGACAAAACGAAGUGGAAUAAUCACAUAAUAGUCACUGAAUCAAAGGUAAGAACAGCCACAACUAGCACAAGAUGCAAAUUCCUUCAUGGGGAGCACAAAGUAAUACCUUAGGGGAGAGAGCCCUAACUUCAUCCUUGGGAAGCUUCAUCACAUCAGCUGAAACAGUCUGAACCCUGGCAUCACAGUGAGCUGAAGGAACCUUCACUUUCUGUUCUGGAAAAUUCGACAUCACAACACAUCACAUUGUACCAAAUGAAGCAAAGGAUUAUUCACUUCCUUGCACAACUUUUCUCAAGUAGAUAACACACCUUGAGAUCAAUUCCUACUACCGCCCCACCACUUUUUAAUGGACCUAUGCUCUGGCACGCCACCUGAAAAUUUUGAAAUACAAAAAUCAGGACAACUCAAUAAAAAAAAUUGAAGGAAAGCUUGCAACUUUACAGCAGAAACAAAGAGGAGCAAAAGAGUACCUGAAGCCAAGCUCCCGGGGCGCAACCCAGAUCAAGAACAGAUGAUCCAGGAGUUAUCAGCUUGUGCUUAUUCUGUAUCUGAAGAAGCUGGUGCAUUUGGAUUGAAGCAGAGAGUCAGAGAAAGAGAUUAACAAAAAUAAGACGAAAGAUGAUUGAUAAAGUAGGGAAAAUUUUAAACCUUGAAAGCAGAGCGUGCUACGUAGCCGAGACGCUGGGCUUCUUUGUAGAAGAAAUCAGGUGCGCCGGCACCAACCAUAUCUAGGGAAGGAAGGGUUCUGGGUUUUAGGCUUUUUAACCAGAAGAAAACGAAAAAGGUUUUUCUUCUCCCUUUGUGCAAAGUACCAUUUAAGUCACCUUAUUUUGACAGUCUUUUUGUUUAAUCUCCUCUUCAACUUCAAAUAUUAUUUAAAUACUUAAAUUCUCUAUUUUGUUUCUAAUCAGGUUUUCUCUUAAUGGCGUUAUCAAAUUAUUUUCACAUAAAAUGACGUCGGGUUAUGUAUGUUUUUCCUUUAAAACCGAUAGUAAUAUCAACAUUAUCGCUACUUUUAUGCUCUAUAAUUUGAGUUGAAAUAAAAAAUAAAAAAUAUAAUUGAAAUAUCAACAUUUCUUUGCUCAUUCGCUGAAAUUUUAGUUUAUAAUUUCCGAUGUUAUUAGAAAGAAUUACUUUUCAUGAUAUUAAAUGCUAAAUUUCAUCACUGUGCCAAUCAUACUGAAGACACUAAAACCAUUAGCAUGCAAAUAAAUACGAACACCUAAUAUCCAAGACAGUAAUUUUUUUCGAUAACAUCAAGAGUGACGAACUCAAUUUCAAUAUAGUAACAUUUAAAAUAAAAAUGCCUUCAAAAAUAAAUAAUACAUGGAUAUCCAUUUUCUGAAAUAUAUUGAAUUCAAAUCCAGAACCUCUCCGUCAACCAAAACAGCUCCAAAGUGCUAGUAAGUAAGUAGUAACAUUUCGAAUUAGGGGAGAAUUAUUAAGCAAAUAAAAAGGCGGCAGAGGAUGACGCCCAAAUACCUUGUCAAAUAAAAACAAGUAUUUUUCAACUGUGCAAUGCAUUUGGUGAAACAAAAAGGACAUCUGACUUUCCUGCUAAGAAAAUGACAGACACCACUAUUAACAGAUAAUCAUUGUCAAGAAAUGGACAAAAUCAUCAUCCAGGUUGCUGAAAAGUGAAAACCAGGACUUGAAGAAAGCUACUCUUGGUGCUAAAUUAUUAUGUAAAGCAGAAUAGAUCAGCAAAAUGUGAAAUUCUAAGCUUGCAAACCAACACUGCCAUGAAAAUCGAGCUUUUGUCAUCAUUUUGAUUACUCACAGUGACACCAUUUCUAUAACCAAGACUAAUAACUAUCCAUAAAUUUACACUUCUGAAGCCACAAAUGUUUCUGCUCAACAAGAAAAGCUUUGAUAUUUUCCACUUUCCACACGAAAGUCGAUCAAUUCUGCUGCAUUUGCAUCUAUAGAGCUCAUCACUUCCAUUGGCUAUGAGUGAGUUAGCUGCAGGGCUCUUCCUCCCGCUAGUUUUAUUUGUCCCCCCCCCCCCCCACACCAAAAAAAAAACAAUACAAAACAACAAAACACAACAAAAAAAAAACACCUACAAAUAAUCAGAAUAUGACAGAAGAAAGAGACUCACCAUUAGAUGAACAAACUCCAAAAUCAUCCCUGCCUGUUCAUGGCGAUGAACUAUGGAGAGUGGUCUAUGCACUAGCCUUCCACGAAGAGAGAGCAUAAACAAUUCUCCCCUUCCACCCUUGAAGAAACCACUCACCAUCCUCGUCGAUCAUGAAAUCCUUGUUGUAAUUCUCUUUCACCUUCUCCUUCGCAGUGCUAAAUAUCUCCCUGUUCAAAGGCAGUUGUGAGAAUCCAGCCCUCUGAGCUCUGAUUUGGCAUUGCUUGUAUGUUUCCGGCCUCUCCAGUCUCUCGGCACCUUCACAAGCAAUCACAUUCAUCGCCUCCCACCCAAAAAUAUCCCUUUCGAUCAGCAUCCUCUCCGGCAUAUCACGAGGCACAGUCGUCUCCAGCAUAUCAAACACAGUAGAGAAAUGGAAGAGCGCCUCCCGGAAUCGAGUGAUGAAGAAUGGAGCACUGUAUGAUCCAUUAACGAUACCGAGUAUGAAAACCUCCGGAUUCAUCCUCCUCACUAGGUUAAGAACAAUAUUCCUCGGGCAGUCCACCACCACAGUCUCGUCAAGCAAGUUUCUCAACCUGUACAUGCAAUUCACUACCAGCACUUCAUCCUUCUCGAUCUUCAAAUCCUCGAUCUUAAUAGUGUCCCACUUCUGCGCAAUGGCAUUGAACUCAAACGGAACAUUGAAUGUCCUAGCAUAGUUUGCUAAUCGACAGCCAGUCUCCUCAACCCUUUCGGCUGGUCUGAAACCCGGAUUCGGUAAAUCGACUCCGGUGAUUCUAAGUUUCGGAGGUCCACCAGGCAUAGAGGAUAAGCGCUGAAUGAGGCAAGGCCACUGGAAACCAUAUAGAAUCCCGAAAUCAACAAUGUGAAGCUUUUUUGCACGUUGAGCCAAGUUCAUAAUCGUUUUGUUUGAAAAAUAAUUUGACAGCUUCUUGAAUGGACAUGCAGCUAGAAACAGCUGGUAUGCUUUCAAUACAUCGGCAGCUGAGGUCGCCUUUGUGAUCAGUGCUUUGUAAAUUUUGGUUCCGGAACCAGCCAUCCUUGCCUCCAAACCAUCAGCGAAAAUACUAGCCAAUCUUUGCAUACCAUCCCCGGUCGGGGGAGCAUUAUCCCUGAUUUGUUUCAAGAGAUCAUUCGCGUUCCUCCGAUCAUCAGCAGCAACGGCCUGUGCACAAAGAGUUAAGAGUGUCCUUAAAUCCACCACGUUUUUCUUAGUUCCCCCCUGCCUCUUCCCUCGAGCUUUUCCACCAUUAGACGAUUUCGUUAGUUUAUUCUGCACUGCAGUCCUGUUCUUCUCACUCUCCAUAGCUGCACGAAGUGUAGCUUCCGGAUCCUGAGCACAGUUAAGCAGUAUCCUGUCGAAGUCUUCUGAACUCACAGUUGAUUCCGAAGAAACUGCUGACUGUUUACUACUUCUUGCUGCUCCUUCUAAGUUUAGAUACUCAGGAUGCGGAUUCUUUUUCCCCCUUGGCUGCUCAAAACAGUAGUUAUUCUCAAGUUUAUUAACCACUUUGAUUUCUCCUUCCUUAUUCUGCUCCUUCAAAUCUUUCAGAGAGAUCCUGGUACUUUCCAUGUCAAAAAGCAAACUAGCUCUGGGGAUGAACUUACUUGCCUCCUCAAACCCCCUCCUAAACUGAUCGGCAGAAUUGGAUUCGGUAAACAUGUCGGGAAUUAUGAUAUUGCUCACUGGAGAAUCCGAGCUCUGUGCUGUAAGCGAAACAGAAUAGGAAGCAUUCCUAGUGGACGAUCUACACUCAUCCACGUCAUAACUCCGGCCAGAAUCAAUCAAACUACUACCAGAACUGAUGCAGCUUGAGUUACUAGAACAAGCUCGACGAUUUGAAUCAUGCUGAUCAUCUAAACUAUCACGGUACUGAUCAGGGUGAGGUAUCGGCUCAGUAACAGAUAACGGUGGAUAUCUUUCCCCAAUAAGCUCAUAGAGUGAUUUCUCAGCAGCCUGAAGUGCAGCUGAGGACUCCUGAAACAUACAUGUUUUCUCCUCCAUGUUUUCUUCCAUGAGCAUAUCAUCAAUAUACUUAAGAACCACAUCGUUGAAGUCGAAAUCAUCACGGGACGACUGUACAGCUUGGUUUAUACUAGGAUGAAUGGGUGGCAAAGGAUCAUUGUGCGGCAAAAGGUUCUUAUUGACAAGAGUAUCGCCUGAUUUCAGCCCGGAAAUGAGUUUCCUAGUAGUUAAAGCUGAAACCGCUUCAUGGCUGAGCUUCAAUCCAUUGACAGAAUCAAACAAGCCCCCUAAAGAUUGAUCCAUAAUGGAAUUCUCUAUAUCCUAUAACCAGUUUCUCCACAAGCAUAAAUCCCAAACCCUAAAAAAAUACCAUACAAAGAGAGUCACCGACCUUGAAUCAGCCUUGAUUAUGCCUUGAGAGUUCCCAACUCUUCACAACCCUAAGGAAUAAAGAUUAGAACUUUGAGAUGCUAAUGGAAAAAAGCUAUCAAACAUUUUCAUUUCAGCUAUUUGAGUCGAAUCAAAACCAAAUAUUAGUCAACAUCGGAAAUAUGCAUCGAACCGUUGUAAUGAAAACAGCGGUCAAUCAGCAACGACUGGGAAAUGGAACGGCCGCAAAGUUGAACAAGCUACAUAUUCCGAUUGGCUACUUAAUGAAGGAAACAUGAAAACUGAAGUUUACCUGGAGAAGGAGGAGUGCUUGGAGGAGGAGGAGGGAAAUACUUGGAGAAAGAAAGAGGAUUGAAAGUAACGGGAAGAACGUGAAAAAGCUGCUCUGUUUCAGAGCGCAUCGGAAAGAAAAAUCAUAAAAGCGCUUUGAGGAAAAGGUUGAGACUAUUUCAUCUACUAGUUUUUCUGGGUCGAGUUUAAUCUGUUGACGGCGCCCAAGCUCCAUUCCCGGGGUCUAAUUUGAUUACUACGCUGACACGGAUACGCACUACGCAAUCACUGGCUCGUCAUUGGAGAUGCAGCAUAGAGCCACAUAGACUCUUUCAUCGCAAGUAGGGUUUCUCGCUCAGGAUGGCGAGAGGUGAUGUUUUGGGCGGCUAGUUGUGAACAUUCUAAUGUAGUUUUUGAGGUUGACUCAUCAGAGGUAGCGACAACAAGCGUAUAGGGCCUCAUGGAUUUCGGUUAUAUUAUCAUUUUUUUGUACUGAUCGUCCAUGAGAUUUCUCAUCAAUCUUUUUUCUUAGCAUUACCGAUUAUUUGACAUGUAGCUUUUCAUUAGCUCGAAAAUUACACUCUCCUAUAAGCAUAUAUAAUUUAAUUUGGAUGGGUGCAUUCAGGAGGUGGAUGUUGUCCACCAAAAUGAAAGUGCGUAACUACACCAUUUCAGAACGAAAAGAGAGAUGAAUGCAUCAGGGUGAAUUAGAAUUCAGGGGAUGGUCCCAGUUGCAAUUAUGGAGGAAUGGGAUUCACAUUUCAUGGAUUAAUUUAAUCGAUUUCCACUCGGACCUGCUGGUGGAUUACACGAGUUAUGGGGUACCAAUUAAGUCCAUAUAGAAGUCCAACAACCUUGGGUCAACCAAUUCCAGAAGGUCCCAAGCCCUACAGAGAAGGUAUAAGCCCAAUAGAGUUUCUGGUCCAAGCCCAAUGGAACUUGUCAACAACCAACUUGUUCUACAUUCAUUGUCCAAUGAUUGGUUUCAGUUAAGGAUGUCAAUGAAACAUCAUGAGUGAAAUGUGCUUAGAAAAUUAACUCAACAUCUGCAUUCCAAUAUCCAACAGGAGAAAAAUGCUAAUAAGUGGAAAAUAUCAAGAUCAAUCAUACUUCAAAUGACCAGAGAUGAUAUCCACUGACGACAGAUGUAAACCUUGUUACAUUAUCCAUAACGACUCACACUUUUACCAUUUAGGUUAUAUAUAAUGGUUAAUGUUAGAAUUAUCAUCAAGAUGCCGAAGUUUCUCAACUGAAUCUCGGCACGAAUUGACCGUAAAAUGAAGAAUUGAUUGUUUACAAAAUAUAACAGGAAGGGGUAGUUGUGACAUUAAUCGAAUUCUAUGGAGGUCUGGUGACUCAAUUUAUAUAAAAACGAGUUCAUACGAGUCAUUAGUGCACUUCAUUAGCAUCACCAAUUUACAUGAAUGGCGUAUGUCCCUCUUCUUCUCCGACAUCUGGCCACCUUCUUUCCGGUCAUGUAGCGGGGAGCACACACGACUCCCUACGGCCUACAUCAUUAUCAUUAAGAAGGUCAUCUUGCAUGUUCAAUUCUAAAAAUCUCUCCCAUGAACCCGAGAGCCUUAUUAGCUUUUCUUUGUUAGCAUCACACACAAAAUCAAAGCUAUCGUAAUAUGUCCACAAGUUCUAAUAUUGUUGGGCAACUACGAAAUUUAAAAUUAGAUACUUAUUUAUAGGAAUAAAACUCAUCUUAUAACCAACCAUUUAUCACUUUAUACUCAUACCGUAAUAAACAAUUUAAUUAUUCCUGAAACACCAUAAUUAAACCAAAAAUAUCAUAAAAUAAAAGACUAUACAACCAACCCAUGUCCAAAGUCAAAUAGGAUUCCAUUCCCACACACCCAACCAACCCACCAAUCUCAAAAGAAUUUGGCAUUUUUUAACUUAUGAAAACAUCAGUUGCCAGACAGCAAAGACCACUGGAUUACUACUAAUAACAAUACAUUUAUUUGUCCUUGCCCCAACUUCUUGUUCUUAUUCUAAAAUAAAAUAAAAACCAUAAAGAUAAGAGCUUUCAGCAAAAACAAGGGAGUUGGUUAGGUUGGACAAACAGUAAAGCAACAGCAGGAAUCAACAAUAUAAUAAUAAAAAGGAACAACAAGACUUGAGGGAUUAUAUUUGGUUGCUUGAGUCGUACGGAACUCAAAUUCAAGCAUCAGACUUUUCCCAGAUCAAGCAAGCAUACGUUUGGUUCGUGGCCUAAUAUCCUCACAUGGCGGUUGCGUGCAGGAAACAAAGUAGAAAGAACCAAACUUCAAGGGAAGUUUCUUCAAGCUUUUACCUUCUUAAGGAUUGCGAUUCAUCCACGUGUCGAUAUGUCAUUGGCGUCGAACUUCAUCACUUGUAUUAUGCUCGAUAGAGAUAAACAGAUGUAAAACUGUUCCAUUUCUAUCUUUCUAUGUAUCUAUUACAGAAAUCUAAUGAAAGAAUGACAACAUCAAAUAAUGUUCAAGUUAGGUGAGACCACUUGGGUCCCAUUUAUUCCCCAAGUUGAAUGAAUUUACAAGAUGCACAAGCUCCCCCAAGUGCCCUAAGGGGGGAGAACUGGCAAUGAAUUUUGUUGUAAAAAUAUCUGUCACACUGUAUUACAAUUGGGAAAAAAUUCUGAAUAUCAAAUCGUUCUUCUUCGUUUUUUUUUGUACAUUUUGAUGUUCUUUGUUCUUCUUCUUCUUCUGUUCCCUUCUCCUUCCUGUCAACGAGUCGUUUCCUUUUGUUUUUUGCACACUAUACCAAGUCAGAGACAGUAAGAUGUUCGUUCUCUCGAACUAAACCGUCUGGCCGUCUGUUAUCUGGAGGACGGCAGAGAUGGCGGUCAUAUUAGCAGCUUGGAUUUUGGUUUGUUGCCUAGCUUGAUGCUGAGACCAGUAGCCGUGAGCGGCCAGUACUCGGUCCAGAAGUUCCUGAGGAACUGGCUCCCCGCGUCUUUGCUGCGGAGCUAUCUUGGCUGUGUGGACCAAUGUCUUCCAUUUGUCCUGAACCAUCCAAAUAGUUCGAGAAAUUCAGAUGUCAGCUCAAUUGAUAUGAUGAUGUGAUAUUUGUAAUAUAUUUUUAAGUACGUGGUCUGUACCUUCAAGUCUACGUAGGUCCGAUGGUCAGCAUUGUCGAAAGAUCGCAACUUAACAUCACGCCACCUGCAAAACAAACAGAAAGAAAUUACUCGGAGACCAAAUUCGUCAAAAAUGCUUAGUUUAUAUCGAAAAAGAAGAAGUUUUUAUCUACCUUCCGGUGCCGAGUUCCUCAACUGCAUGAACAAGGGCCUCUACUUCCGAGACCGAGAACGGUCUUCUGGUUCGACGCUGGACAUUUUCUGACCGCCUACAUUUCUGGUUAAGUGGGAGAACAGCAAGUGGUUCACUGCUCGCUGGCUCAACUGCAACCAGAGCUUUGGAAUCAUCUGAUGGUGAUUUGUUAAUUACAGUGUCAGCAUUAGUGGAAAGUGGUUCCUGAUUAGUGUUAAUAUGGUCAGCCAGAUUUUCUGGCAGUGGAAGGGUAAGGUAGGGAUAGUCUAUAGGAUUCUGUGACUCUACGAUCCUAGUGGCUGGGGACCUGAAAAACGACAGACAAGUUCAUCAAACUAUUGUAAUAUCUUGUAACUUAAGCUUUUGCCUUGUCUUGCAAGGCAAGCAUGAUACCAAUACUCCUUAAGAGUCACUACAAGAGAACCAAUACCUCGGUAUGAGCUGGGAAGUGUGAGACGGUAAGAUGGCAGGAAGCUCUUCAGUGCGCAAUGGUGUAGGAGCUUGCACUGAACUAGACUCCAAAGUAAAUCCCAGAGAGUCAAGAUUUUCUGAAGAAGAGAUGCCAGUCUGCAAAAGGGUUCUGUUAUCAUCUCUAACCUUCUUUCCAUGGUGAAUAACCCCAACACGUAAACUACCACCAAGUAUGGCGGAGACAGCCUCCACAAUAGUUCUCUGUUGAAAAGUAAAACUUCACCAUUAAUCGAAGGACCGAAGUGAAAUGCAGGAUGAAAAAUGUACUCCUGGAAGACGAGGAAAAGACUGAAGAUCAAUCAAUACCUUCAGUGAGCCAACAGUUGCAGUUUCUGGGACCUCAAUGAGAAGCUCUGGGAUUUUGAAGGACUUGAUGCUCAGUUUAACUGGAACAAGAAAUUAAACAACACAUAAGAAUCCUUGGAAUCCAAGUCAACCAAAAUACAGGGGCACCUCCAUCAUUAUUCAUCUCAUUAAGUACCAUGAGAAUCCUUUGGGUGAAGCUCCCCUUGAUGACCAAUAACUGGGGACGACAUGCCAUUCUCUGCAAAUAAUAAUCGUAAAAUGUCAGAAAGCCAGAUUGAAGGAGAAAGGUCAGAGAAAAAAACAGAGAAUUUAGAAAUGAAGGAGUAGAAAAAACACCUCUAUUUAACAUGACUCGUGAGCCAUUGUCUCCUGACAUGCCUUUUCCUGGUGAAUUACAAACACUUUCGCUGCUAAACCCCCCAUCGGAAGCUAUUACUAAGCUACGGUCAGAAAGCUUCCUCCUUUUGUAAAGAAUGUCAUACUGACGUCUAUCGUAAUUGCAAGCCAACUUCCUCUUGUGAUAGAUAGGCUUCAUUCCCCCGUCUCCAAUUGCUGAAAUACAAAAAUUACUGUCAGAACAAUGAUAUAUAACUCAAUACCACACAUGGACCAGAAAAAAUAUAUGCUAACAGCCACUUACCGGGUCUGGUUAGUUCGUAGUCUUUCAGUUUAGGAGCUGAUUUCCAGUAUUUGGAUGACAGUAACUUUCUUAUUCUGCUGUCUACAAUUCGCGAAGAAGGCCUGAAAGCCUUUCUCCGGUUGCUUUGCUUAUUAUUAGACCUAAAUAAAUUUUCAUCAUCAUCUUUAACAUCUAAUUUCACAUUGUUGUCUUUGAUCAAUGCAGGAUUCUUCAUACAUGACUUCUUGGGAUCCUUUGAAAUGCAGGCAUUCCUGAGCAUUGACCCUCCAGUUUCCAGCCCAUCAGCAAGUAACUGUCUUCUGACUCCACUUUUUAAAUAUCCAUCACGUGGUUCUACAGAAGCAGGAGAGUCUCCUUCCACCUCAGCUGGUAAUUUCUCACAUAGGAUGGGCUUCUCAUCACAACUGAAUUUCACUGAUGAAUCAGAUUUCGAGACUGUCGAAAAGCGUUCCAGAAUGGAAUCACUCUCAGCUGGGGGUGGAGUGUCCUUUAAAUUGGGGAGGAAAAUACUCUCUUUGCAGCUUCCCAGAUCAAAGCGCUCCGUUUUCACAGGGUGAGUUUCUUCAACUUGCUCUCUUUUGACAAGAUCAUCACUAAUUGCAGGACGAUCAUUUGCUGCAUCGGAAGCGUUACUAGAAGCCGAUGAGCUUUGGGUCUCCAGCAAUAGCUGUCCGGCUAAAGAAGCAAGCAACUCAAAUGCGCACAGUUGACUAUCCUCAACGAUCCUCUUAUGAAAACCCCUCUGGCAAAGAGGAACCAUGAGAUAGAUAACAAUUGUUAGAGAAUCGUUGUUCAAAUGCAAUACGAGAGUAAAACUAAGAAACCGCAUCUGUACUUACUCUAGCAGAUCUGGGAGCUUUGGGGACAAAAGGGAAGUGGACACCGCUAAUGCCAUGAUGCUGCCUCUUCUUCAACACCAUAUUUGAAGCAUACGUAUCAGAGUAGUUCAGGUGACACUCAUCAAGCAAUAAGCAUUGCAAUCUGGAUCUACUGCACUGUCAUUAGGACACCAGUCAAAAAGCUAAUUAAGGUUCAAAUUUAACCUUCCAUUUUGAAGCUCAUGUCAAACAAAUAAAGAAAGGAAAGGUUGAUUCUCUUAUUGAAUCCAGGUCAUCCAAAUAUCGAUCCAUACAAAUCAAUCACGAUCCACUAUACAAUUCUCACCUGAUCAAAGCAUAUCGAAAUCAAGCGUAAUUUGAAUAGAAUUUGCACCACGAAAACGAGGAAACCAAUACGAUCUUCAAAAAUAACCAUGGGGAUAGUGGAAUCAGAACAUUUCCGACUAUCAAGUAGCACAAAUCUAUUAACGGAGCGAUCACGACAAUUCAACAAGCAGCUAGAGGACAAUAAGUUAGUUCCAGAAUACAAACGAUCAAUCUACCAAUAAUCAAUCAAGAAGAAGAAGAAGAAGAAUCAGUUUUAGAAGAAUCAACUCCAAUUGCGGUAACUGCAGCUCCUGGAAUUCAAAACAAAAGGAAGCUUCUUGGUUUUUUUUAAAAAAAACACAACAAUUUCAAAAUUCCUUUUGGGAACUGUAGCUCCCACCGAAAUCCAUAAUACUGCCAUAGCCACACGUCCAUGAUCAGAUCCCGAUCUCAGCCAAACAAAGCAACAAUCCAAUGCUUCUUUUUCCACAAUUUCACAGCGAGAUCAAAUUGCAGACAAAUUUCAAAACUGAAGGACAGCAGCAGCAAAGAGAGAUGGAAGAAAGUAGGAAUUCACAAUUCAGCAACAAUCUGAUACAACAACUGCAAAUUACUGACCUCGAGAUGAACGUCGAUCUUCGAGUUAUAAGCGCAAUUGAGCAAAAUAUGUACAACUAUCGGUGAGAUGAGAUCAGAUCGGAGAGCAGAGAAGAAGAGAAAUUCAGCUCAAUGCAAGAUGGGAGGAGAAAUCAGAAAUGAAUCUGCUGCUGCAUCAUCACAAAUCUCUCAGAAUUAUACACACAGCUCCAUGGUUUAAUUGUUGUAUAUUCAAUUUUUCUCAACUCAUUUAAUUAGUAAUUUUUCAUUUUUGUUUUCUCUCUGCCAAGAAUAAACAGAAAAACCUCUCGAGAACCAGAGGGUGGGGGAGGAAACCAUGAAAGAAACAGCGGCUUAGCUUAAACCCCUUCUUGUUUCUCCUUUUUUUUUAUAAACUUUUUGACCACAAAACCGGAAGAACCGGUAACCCGGGUCACCCGAUAAACCCACCCUCUUCAAACGCUGAUGGGUUUAAAGAAAAGAGCACACGUGGCGGCCUGAGAAAAUUUGUAGAAUUUGUUCAAAGAUAAGGGAUUUGUUCUUUGUGGGGUCAAAUUUUAACUGCAUUUUGGGGGAAAAAAUGAGAUGAUAAUAAAUGAAAAUGAAUUUCAUGGAGGGACUGCUUUCUUUUCAACGAAUAUUCCAAUGUACUAAAAAUAUUUAAUAAGCAUCCCCAAUUAAUAUAUUUUAACAGGGUACGCCUGAUUGGUUACUAAUUAGGUUAUAGAUUUGAACUUAGAUGAUUAAUUAUGAUUUUAAUUGUAAUUAAAAUAGUUCCCACCCGUUGGAUCGAAAUGAUGAUUAACCUUCUAGCUACUUCCUAACAAGGAAUUUAUUGUGGUAAGGUAUUAUGGUGUCAUUUAAGUAAACACUAGCAUGAGGUUUAUUUUUUUAGUUUGUUAUUUUCUUUCGCCCUUCAUUAAUUCGCGUAUAUUAACAAUAAUUUGAUAUAAAAAAUUAUGUAAAUUCGAUUUUAUUUAAUAACCAGUUUGUUUCUUGAAUUUAUCUGAAUGCGUGUUAUAAAAAGUGUAUUUCACAAUAUGGCUAGUUAUAGAAGAAGUAUUGUUUUAUCAUAGAUAGUUAUAAAAAGGAGAGAUAAAGAUGAUAAAACAAUAAAAUAUUAAAUAUUAGUUUAUAUUGUAAGAUCGAUCUCUACACGAUUUGAAAGAUAUAAAAGAGCUAGUUGCGUCAUUUUAUAGACAGCUCAGUAUAAGUGGAAUGCCUGGCCACCGGCUGCAUCUGUAAAUGUAGGCACGCGACCAUAAAAGUAAAGAACAUAGCUAUAAAAGAGUCACUAUAAAAUAACAAUUAUACCAUCGAAAAAAAAUUAAAAAGAAUAAUUAACNNNNNNNNNNNNNNNNNNNNNNNNNNNNUUAACUUCACGUCCUCUUCAAUGUCUACUUACCAUACGACGAGAAAAUACAAAAGUACCACUAACUGAGGAGAAAAGUAAGAAAAUUUUGAAAAACGUAAAAGUACAUACUUGAAUGGACUCCACCAUAAGAACAAUUGCAUUGCAAUGUGACCAGCUUAUAGUGUUUGUCCACGUUUCUAGGAGAAGCAUGCACUUACUUUAUCGCAAUGAAAAUAUUAAUUAAACUUAUAAAUUUAGAAAUUAGGAUCAAAGGCGGACAUUAAGGUUAUUAAUUAAGAGGAUUAGUGUCAGAUUUGACAUGUUGGUGAAUAUGAUGAUGACAAAAAAAACAGGUUGGAAGGGGAGGGUGCAGGAGAGAGAUCCUUUGUUUCAUUUCACUAUUAAUUACUUAAAAAUUAAUUAACUACAAUUGUUGCUUAUUAAAAUUGCCAACCUAGCUAAUUAGCUCCCUCUCUCUUUCAUCUCGAUCCCAUUUCUCUGAAACUACCCCACUGUAUUCAAAUUGGUCGGGAUAAGGUACAGUAUGGAUGUUUCUAGGUCGCAUCCUUCAUACGUGUAUAUACGUACCAUUUUUAUCCAUUAUCAUUGGACAUUUUGUGGACGUUAGAUUAUCAUAGUGGAAGGUCAAAUUUUCGUUACAAAAAGCUAUUUGCAAUAGACAAAAAUCACAAGGUGCAUGUAGCAAGUUUGGAUCGAUAUUUAAGUUGAUUAUAUGACUAUUUUGUUUUUGUAUGUGAGAACUAUCGAUGAAAAAAUGGAUCAAAUUCAACCAUACAUUGCUAAACAUGAUGUAGUUGAGUGAUUGUAGUGCUUAGAUUUAUGGUCAAAGAUUCUGGGUUCAAAAUCUAAAAUGCGCAUUCAUAUAAUGGUGGCGAAACUGGGAUAGGAAAAUCUAGACUAUCGCUCAAAGUGUAUAUAAAAAUUUCAAAAUUGAAAUUUAUAUCAAGUUUUUAACUUAUAGAUUAAAUGAUAAAAUGUAUGUCUUGUAUUUUGAUACAUACUAAUUGUUAAGCCCAAAAUAUAUAUUUAUCUUUAAUACGACCGAUCAAUUACGUUCCGGUUGCAAAUGGUAAAUAUAAAUACUUUGAUUAAUUACUAACUCUAAACACUAUCUAGAGCUAGAGACAUUGCCUUGGAAAAACAUUACAUUCGCCGAUAAAAUCUAAAAUUCUCAAAAUUAAAGUUUAUAUUGAGUUUUUAUGAGUUACACCUUCGAAUUUGAGAUCCUCAUAAACUCCAUAACCAUCCUCAUUCUGACUGGAUAAGAGUAAAAAUAACAAAAUGUAUGUAUAUCUUGUAUUUGAUUGUAAGUGUUCAGUACUCUAAUUUUGUUAUGCCACGUACGUUAUCACCAUUUAACUAAAGGAAACUCUAUGUACAGUUGUUGUUAAAUUAGGGUUGAAAGUGCACCACCAACUACAAAUCCAUACAACCACCUCCACCAAACUUUAAUUUCAGCCUUAACCAGCACACAACACAGAUUUUCAUCGUUUACAAAACCAGAAACCUGAUUAACCUUUUGUUUCAGCUGGUGUAGUGUAGGCAUUGUGGGGGAAUAUUAUCGAUGGCGUCAGUUGCAAGGAAAAACGAUUCCUGCCAACUUUCUUUCUUACUAUCCGCCUCUUUUUGUUUGUAAUUGUAUGUAUAUGUGAUGCCGGUCACUGGAUCUUUCCUAACCGAGUUUUUGUUUCCACCACGGUUGAGAAUAUGAGGAGGCUGAGGCAGCCGUUAGACGUAUGAGGUACCAUCGUGGCAUCGUGCAACGAUAAUUUCAGAAUUGUUCAAUGCACGGGAUUUGGUUAUAUAUAAUUUCGAACUUCACCUGCCAUCAGGUUGAAGAAGAAGGACAAAAUGGGUAGGUGGCAGUUAGCUGUUGCUUGUUGCAGUAAUUCUCAAAAUUGGGCUCAAACUCUGUAGCCGAAUAUUAUUCCAGGAGCAGGCCCACGUGAAAAAGGCCUAUGGGGUUCACCCAAAGAAAUGCCAGCUUCUAUGGCUUUUGCCUGUUAUUUUGAUGGGCCGGAUAUAUAUAGCCGGGACAGGCCUGCGAAUCAUUGAUCUUUUUCUGAACCUAUACUUGCUUGGUCUUGGAUAGCUUCACAUACAAAUCAUAGAUUAGGGCGAGUCGAUCCGCUCGUUAGCAGUUCGGUUUGAAAGAAUUCAUUGAUAAUUAGCUCAUCUUAAUAAGUCAAAUUUGAGUCGAAACUUGAGUCACGGAAUGCUCGACUCAAUAAAUUCAAGAGCCGGCUGAAGUGUUAACUCAAAUACCAAUCCGAUUAUAUCAUUUGUUACUAAACUUAAUAAUACAACUUGCGUUCUGUCUCAAAUAUCAUAGAACAUAAAAUCAUAUACACCAUGCGUGAUUCUGCUAAUAAAAACUAAAAAGUCAAGUAAUACAUAAUUUAGGUUUAACAAUUUUAUAAAAAAAAAAAAAGGUAAAAUUCUGAAUAGUUUUGUUCGCUUGACUCGUUGAGGUUUUAUAACGUACAGAUUUCAGAUUCAAUUUAGAUUGAGCUCGCUAAGGGGAUUAUUAAUGAGAAAAGUUCGAGUUGCAUUUAAAAUUGACUUGUUAGGGAUAGUUAAUAGAUCAACCUCGAAUUGGCUCGAAUUCGACAUUAGGUUCAAUUUCUCAGAUCAAAUACAAAUUGAAAUUCAACUCCGCUCGAUCGUGAACAAGCCAAUAUCAUUUUCUGUCUGGCAUAGUUCUGAGUACUUGAUGAAUUCUGCUUAAUCUAAUUAACGCUAAAUUAGCGCUCUACUCUAGAGAGACAAGCAACCAUUUACUUUGCUUUGAUUUGUUAAUGUUGCUAAUUUUUCCAUUCAUUAAUGAAUUAUAAUGAUGGGUGGUUAGGUUAGUUGAUGUCGCGGCCGGUAGUUAAGUAGUUUAGUCGCCUUCCAAUCAACAGUGUCCACUCUCUCGAUCCCAACCAUCUCCAAAAACAAAAACAAUCCACACCCAAUUUUAAAAAUCGAGAAGUAAUAAAAUUAUAAAAAAUUAGAUCGUGUUAUAAAACUAAGAGCGAAAAAGAAGACGAGCGUGGGAGAAGAGAAUGUUUUUUAUUGAGAUGUUUAUAAAAUGCUACAAAUGAUAGCUUUAUUUAUAAGUUUAUGGAUCAUAAUCUAUACUCUCUAAUAUUAUUACACAUAAAGGUGGGAAAAUAAAUAAAUAAAAUACAUUGAAGAAUGAAAUAAGAAGUUACACGAUGGUUCAUUUCCUAUAGUAAUUAUCUUUAUAAUAAAUCGGAAGAAAUGAAACAAACAAUUUGCAGAAAAAAUUAUAGACCCACGACGGGGAAAAAUCUCCACUAUGAUACAGAAGUACAACUCUUAGGAAUCUACAACAACUCAUAUAUUGCAUAUGACUAAGAAAAUGGUAUUUGUGCCGUGAUCGGUGAGACGGGUACUAUAACUCACAAUCUUUAGAUCGUUUAAUUUUCAUCGGUGAUGGUUUAAUGUACUCGGUCUUAUUGUAUAGAAUUUGAAAUGCACCGGGCCACAUAUGAAAAGUUUUACUAAUUCGUCUCAAAAUAUAAAGAAAUUAUGUAAUAUUGAAACUCUAAACUAAAAAAUAAACUAGACUGGUGGCAUGAGAAAAGCUCUCCUAAAUUCACCACUGUCAAUUUAACUAUUCAACGAAAUUUGAUCACCAAACUUCAACCAUACGUCCCCUCGAUCUCUACAGACAUAACUAAUUUUAAUGGCUCGAUUUGUAUAACUAUGGAAUCACAUAAUAAGUAGCACUUCAAGAAAUCGAAAUUCAAUAUAUAUAAUCAAAGUGAGAGUUGGUAAAGCUAGGAAAGGUUGAUGAUCAUGCUUGAUUGGUGGGUUAGGAAGAUAUAUGAUUGCAAAUAUUUUUGCUUGUUGAAGAAAUUUGGAACAUGCAUCUUUAUAGGGGGUUGCGUAAAGAUGAACGAUAUAAGUAGAAUUCAACAUGGGACGAUCGAUGGAACCCUUUGGCCCAACAUCAUGGUCCCAUAAAGGGGUUGGUUAGCUAGGUUUGUGCGCAUGAGAAUAAUUCAACCCCAAACUCCCUGGUAGCUAGCUUACGGUGCCACAACAUACGCGACCUGAUUUCUAAUUGUUGUAAAAAAAUUGAUUUGAUAAAAAGUUUUGAGUACACAUAUUCCAUGUCUUUAUCACCUUCUUUACGUACUCUUGACCGUGCAUCCACCUCAAUAUAUCCUCUUCCGGCAAAGUCAAUACUUCAGCUUUCCUGAACGGGAGGCUGCCCGGCCGAUCGAUGAACCAUCUUGACCAUAUAACGAAAGUAGGUAGUUUGCAUAAAAGGAUUUGGUGUUACUUUAUUAGUACUAAUUAUACCAAGCUUAAUGGACCAUAUGAUGAAAAUUAAAGAGUUGUAUGUAACGAUUUAGACCAUCAUACUCACUUUUAGUACUCCAUUGUAAUUGUUUUGGAUUGAACCGUCAUAGACACUUUUCUUAAGCUCCGCAUAAUGCAUGCAUAACGAUCCUUACCUUAUAUUCCACUUCAAGUCAUGAAUUAAUAUAUUGCAUUAAUCAUCAAAAUUUUACUUAUUACACAAAAAAUAACCCACACCAUUUAAUUUGUACAUAGCGGUCUUUAAUCAUGUUGGUCAAAAUAUUCUAUAUAUUAAAUAUAUGUCGUCACAUGAUGCCAAGUGUACAAGCUUUUGUUGGAACAUUCACAUGAUGCAAUGAGUCAUUAUCCAUAUCGGAGUACACGGAGAAGUCUAGAUUUUCUUUCAAUUUUGCAUCGCAGUGGCAAACGGAUCCCAAAGCUAAAAGUACUGCUCCAGUGGGUAGGUGAUUCCGUCACAAAAUGAAGUACGUAUAAUACCAGUACGUGGCGUAUCUAUGAGUCGAAAGCUACUAAGAUUCGACACCUUGGCAUAUAUCAUCUCAUGACGUCAAAUUAAUUAGGCACUCAACACAUGCAUGCAUGCACGCACGCUAAACCUACCACCGUCGAUUUAUGACGCCUUUUAAUUCCCACAACUGCACCCGCCCGCCCGCUCGUUCUUCAUUAUGUGAACUAUAAUAUAUACAGGUUGAAUACAAUUACAAAUUAAUAUAUGUUUAAUUGGUUGACUUCAAAAAAAAAAAGAAAUAUUUUGUUCAAAAGCUAAUGGGUGAUAGAGUAAUUUUCUAGUAAGGUAGAGAACUAAAGUCACCUCCUCACAAGUGGCUUCGAUCUUGAGGUAGCUACAAGUUAUAGUAGCAAGUGGUUCUCGUUUUCUGGAACAAUAUAUGAUCAAGUUUACUUGAAAUUGAGAUAGUCCUCGUUGCAAGCUAGAUUAUCUAUAUUGUUAUCUAUAUACAUAUAAAUUAUGAGGUGUGAAAACUACAGUAUUUGAUAUGAGAAUUAUAAAGUCGGUUAAAACUGAAGGCAAUAUAUAGCUCUUUUUCUAGUGAUAUGAAUUUGGUCGUCCCGAAUCGGGAAUGGAUCGAAAUUUGUGAAAGAACAAUCCAAUCAUAUCAAUUAUAGAUCUUUUCAGUGCCAAUGUCCCUACGGACAUCAAAAACGAGAUUUUCUCGACCUCUGACUUUGACCCGAUUGGGUGUCAUGAUAAGUAUUUGGGUGUGCCUACUGAGUGGGGUCGCUCUAAAGAUGAGACCUUCUCCUUCCUCCACUAGCGUAUGGAAAACAAGGUCAAGGAUAGAAAGGUAUGCUUCUCUCUCAUGCCAGAAAGGAAACCCUACUCAAAUUAGUCACUCAAUCCAUCCCCACCUAUAUCAUGAGCAUGUGUUUGCUGCCUAAGCGUAUGACUAAAAAGAUGAAUGCCAUGAUUCGCAAUUUCUUCUGGGUUGGUUCCACCAAGAAGAAGACCAUUAACUGGUGUAAGGGGACUAGAUUGUGUGCCCCCAAAGUGUGAAGGGGGGCUUGGGUUUCGGGACUUCCGCCUUUUCAAUUUGGCUCUCUUGACGAAGUAGGGUUGGCGGCUUAUCACUUCUCCUAAGGGGUUAUCUGCACGGAUCCUUAAAGGCCUCUACUUCCCCAAUGGCUCCUUCCUGGCUGCCGGUAAAGGGUGGCGAACCUCUUGGAUUUGGUCUAGCUUGUGUGAGGCUCGUUCAACUCUAAACCUUGGGGUUGUUCGAGUUAUUGGCUCGGGAGACUCGACCUCUAUCAGGGUCGACCCUUGGAUUCCCUCCCUUCCACAUUGUCGGCCUGCUCUUGGCCCUGACGAUUUGACUGUUGUGGCUAAGGCCUUCUCUCCCUCUCGCGAGUGGGAUACAACAUUCUUAGAGAACUUUUGCUCCUCUGAGGAGGUUGAGGCUAUCUGUCGGGUGCCCAUUGGGCCGGUUGGAGCGAGUGAUUUAUGGGUUUGGAGAUUCAACCAAAAUGGGAAGUUCACGGUCAAGUCUGCUUAUCAUGUGUCCCGUCAGCAUUCUAACAGGUUUGACCAAGGAGUGAACCCUUUCCAGAUUGAAUGCUAGAACUGGAUGUGGAAGCCCCUCUGAAAGUCCUUUUCUUCUUGUGGAGAUGUGCCGCCAAGGCUAUUGCCACCAAGCUCAACUUGUUUAGAAGACGUUGCUCUCCUACACCUUUGUACCCUCUGUGUGGUCUCGGGGAAGAAUCUAUCAGUCAUUGCAUCCUUUUUUGCUCUCAUGCUGCAUCCACAUGGUCAUCUUUGUUUUCAUUUUCUGGUUCCUCCGCAAGAUGGUGACUUUGAUGACUGGUUCUUCUCCCAAAAGGGCGAACCAAGCUCGUUUCUGUCCAAGACCGCUUUCAGCUGCUUGAAUAUUUGGAAAGCUCGGAAUGCAUUUGUGUUCAACGACGACCACCCUUUUCCCGUGCGCACAGCGAGCCUUUGUAGCAAGGAAUGCAUGGAAUGGGAAUCUUGUCUUAUCCCCCCUCUUGUUCCUGGUUUGGUGGCUAGCUUGACCCACCCCAUCAUGUGACCAACCCCCCGCCAAGCAAUCUCCAAGUAGUGAUCCACUAUGAAGGAUCAUCUUUACAUGAUUUUCAGAAGGCGGCAUAUGAUGUUAUCGUUUCUGAUACCCAUGAAGAAGUCAUUGAUGGGAAAACGGCCACGUUCCUCUGUUCUUCUCCUUUUACUAUCGAAGCUAAAGCGGUCCUAGUGGCAGUCAAAGCUGCCUCUUCAAUGAUCUCCCCGAUCACGAUCUUUCUCGAUUGUCAGUUCUUGGUGAGGCUCCUCAACGGUGAUUCGGCCUUUUUUAGCUGGAAAGCUGCAUCUAUUACGUCCUCCAUAUCGAGUAUCCUAUUGUGUGCCCCUCACAUCACAACCCGGUUUUUCUAAGAAAGGAGAACUUUAAGGCUGAUUGGGUGGCUCGUAAUGCUUCCAAUAGGACUCUGCCGGAGAUUUGAAUUCCAUUAUUGUCGUCUGUUAGGGUGUUAUCUUUUAUUUUUUUAUCUCUGUGAACUCAGAUGUUUUGGAGAUUAAUAGAAAAAUAUUGAGUUGUAAAAAAAAAUAUAAAUCUUUAUUCAAUACUCUUUUUUUCUUGUGGGGUUUCAAUGGUCAACGACUAGUAAUAUUCUGAAACUUCAAUGUAAUAAGUAAGUAGUUUUGACUGGCACAUUAAGUGGGUUGGGAGUUGACUUUAAUUUGUUCACAAAGACAAAGCCUAAUCUAAUCUGAAUGACCAAACUUUUGAUUUUAAAGAAUUUGGGGACCGACGUGGAAUGCAAAAAAGAUAAGAGAAAAAGUCAAAAAGUCUUCCUCAACUGUACGGUAACGCACGGCGCAACAUGAGGGCCGAACCGAUGAAUGCGGAUAACUGGGCCCUACCCAUUUCAUUUCAGAAAGAAAAGCCCUUUUUCCCUUUUUGCCCCGAUGAGCAAGCAAAGCCCUUCUUCAUUUGCUCGUGAAAGCUUUUAAUUUGGCGGGCAAACAUUAAUACGGUGUUGGGUUGGGGAUUUAUAUUUUAUACUUUCCCCAUCAUUUUAAUUUCUUAUUUUUUUUAUCAUAAAAUGGUAAAACUUAAUUAUUGGUUUGAAAAAAUGGGGAAAUAAAUUAUCAAACCAUUCUAAUAUUUUGAAAUGUAUUUCGUUCGAGUGUCGUUCUUGUUGUUUUUCGUAUGGUUACAUUUGAGGUUUUCUUAUAUGAUUGAUGGUACCAUAAGUAUCGGCAUCUAUCAUUUCCUUUAGAAGUUUUCAUCAUGCAUAAGGUUUUUAGACAUUUUUCAAGUUGGCCAUUAGUCAACCUUUCGACUUGAAAUAGAUAUUUAGUAUAUAACAUUCAACUAUCAAAAUGAAAAAGUAAAACCAAACCAUAAGAUAUAUCUAAAUUAUCAUACAAUUAUUCAUCAAGAAAUUAUCAUACAAUUGAAAUAUAAGGUAUCACAUAUUUCAACUAAGCCAAAACAAAUUUUAGCUUUUAAUUGAAUAACCGUUGAAAUUAUACGAGAUACAAUUGAAAAGAUAAUCUAAAACCGCUCUAGAGUAAGUGAUGUCAUGCUUGCGCAUGCAACAUCAUAAAACAAGCAACUCUGGUCUCCUUUGCAAGUGGGUUAUAUGGUUCAGUUUGCCAUCUUCAAAAUGGUAAGUGUAUAGUGUUAUGCAUAUUCCCAUCCACACAACUCAAAUGGCUCCUCACCACCAUAACCAUUCUUCCCAUUUGCUCUCCAAGUUGAAGAAUCCCCCGCCGCCACUUUUCAAUUGUCGGAGAAUUUGUAAGGAGAGGAUCGGAAAAACAAAACAACAGUUGAACAAAAUCUAAGACAAAAGUGACCACCACCAAAAGAGAAGAUUAUGAGACAAAUUAAAGGUCGUGUAAUUAGUAGCACAACUUGCAAAUGAAGCAAAGUACCCCGCACUUCUUUAUUUCCUCUUGGUCCUCCCCCGUCAUACCGGAAUAGACCAAUGGUCCUACGAAGACAGGCUGGAAUGAUAUCAGUCUAGCCCGGGAUGGAUAUUUCAACAUUCAUAUUUGUUUUCGAACAUAUUGAAAUUAUCAUAGUAGUUUAUUAGUACAAGGUAUGAUUUAUUAUAACUUGUUAUAUAUAACUUUUGUGUAUAACAGGUCGGCAGGAAAGAUCAAUAAGAUUUAAAUUCACCCCAUAUUUAUCAUAAAUCAUAUAUCAUCUAUCAAGAUCCAAUGAGUUGCGUCAAAUAAAUAAAGUGAAUGUAGCAUCAUAAUGUAUGACAUACUUCUCAUGUGUGUUUUUUAUUUGACUACGAUUUUCUAUAUAUUCACUACAUACAAUUUGGUCAAAAUUGAAAAAUAAAAAUUUCGAGAAGACAGAAAUUUAAAUUACUAAAGUAGAUCUUUCACAAAUAUUACAAAUACACUAGACUACAAAGUGUUCACAUGUUACAUAAAAAUCCAUCCAUUAUCCAUAAGCCAAAAAAUGUACAACCUUGACCAAGGUUGAACAAACAUAAUCAUAAUUUUGUACGGUUAAAGUCAAUUUCCUAGAGCAAACAUUGAGUAUCAAAAAAGAGAGAAGGAAAACAGAGCACUAAUCAAGGAGCUUAAAGAGUUGGUCUUUAAUGGUCUCUUUUUGACAAUUCCUUCUUCCAAGCUCCUCCAUAAAUACCCCCCUUCCCUCCAAUCUCUUCCUCCCAAAACAAAACUAAAGAAAAACAAACCCUCUUCCCAAAUCCUAACUCCUAGCUUCCCCUUCUGAGCAGCAACUCAAAGAGUUGCAAAGAAUCCAGAAAUGAGGACUUCAGCUCUUUGUGCUCUGUCUUUUGCUCUGCUUUUCCUCUCUGCACAAAUCAUCAUUGUCGAAUCCCGAAUCCCUGGAAAUUACAUGGGAGGCGCCUGGCAAUCCGCCCACGCCACUUUCUACGGCGGCUCAGACGCCUCCGGGACAAUGGGUAACUUCUCCAGAAGAUUCCUUCUCCCCCCUGCUCUGUUUUCCGGCUACUCUAUUUUUUUUAACACACUCUGUUUCAAACUUCCAUGAAUUCAAUGACAAUGACUAGAACAAAGUCGAAUUUCACGGUUUUCAAGGUUGAUUUGUUAUCUUAUAGAAAAAAUUUAGUUUGUAUAGAGAUCGAGUUUAUUCGAAUUUGCAUCGUUAACUACUCUGUAAAAGUCAAAUUCGAGAUGAACUUGAACUUUACUUAUUAAAACCCUUUAUUAGUCCAAUAAUUUGAAACUUGUACACUAAAUUAACACGUUAAACUAAAAUAUAAAUUACCCUAAAAUUUUCAACUCUCUACUUUUUCAUUUCAUUUAAAAUAAUUAUACAUAAACUAUGUAGCACUUGUAUUGUGAUUACCAUAAUCACAACUUAAAUAAGAUAUAUUAUAUACAAAAUAAAAUAAAUAUUGCAUUAUUAAAUCUAUUAACUAGACAUAUAUUUAAGAUAGUAUUUGAAUUGACUCUAACUCGAACUCACAUAUCUAGCUUCCUGACUAAAGUUUAACUAAUUUAAAAUCUAGUCGAUUCAAAAACGAAUAUUUUUUCGAGCAAACCAAUACACUAAACUAUUAAUCAAACAGCUCCAUUUGUCAACAACCCGACAUUUCUCAAUUUCUUUGUUCUAAAGGGGGAGCUUGUGGAUACGGAAACCUGUACAGCCAAGGCUACGGAGUAAACACCGCCGCACUAAGCACUGCACUCUUCAACAACGGACUGAGCUGCGGUGCAUGCUUCGAGAUAAAAUGCGCAAACGACCCGCAGUGGUGCCAUUCGGGCAGCCCUUCGAUCCUCGUCACAGCCACAAACUUCUGCCCUCCCAAUUUCGCCCAAGCCAGCGACAACGGUGGGUGGUGCAACCCUCCCCGCCCGCACUUCGACCUCGCAAUGCCGAUGUUCCUCAAGAUCGCAGAGUACCGGGCCGGGAUCGUGCCAGUGUCGUUCCGGAGGGUCGCAUGUAGGAAGCAAGGAGGGAUCAGGUUCACGAUCAACGGGUUCAAGUACUUCAAUUUGGUACUUGUGACGAACGUGGCCGGAGCAGGGGAUGUUGUUAAAGUGUGGGUGAAAGGUUCCAAGACUGGUUGGAUGAGUAUGAGUCGGAAUUGGGGUCAGAAUUGGCAAUCGAAUUCGGUGUUGGCCGGACAGUCGCUGUCGUUCCGAGUUACUUCGAGUGAUCGCCGGACUUCUACUUCUUGGAAUAUUGUUCCUGCUGGGUGGCAGUUUGGUCAGACUUUUACCGGCAAGAAUUUCAGGGUCUAGUAACUGGUGGGCAGUGGGCUGGUAACCUUUUUUCGGUUUGGGAAAAGGGUACGGUUCGGUUUGUUGUUUUUUUUCACCAUUGUUGGGGAAAGUCUCCACUUAGAUGUGUUUGUCUCCACAUACUAUACUAAAUCAUAUUCUAAUGUAACACUUUUGUUUAUUUAUACGUGACCACUCAUGCUCUUAAAAACAUAUCAGUGGUUUUUUCCGAGCUAUUUACAAAUAGUUUGGCUCGUCAACAACCUCAAAAGCAAUCAAAUAGACUGUCAAAAAUGUUGUAUGAGAUUAUGUUUAAGAAUAGCUAUUUCGUCAUAAAUAUCAAAUCAACAAGCACUUAAAUUUCAAUGAUAUGAACACUGUUUCUAUUCAAUGUGAGAUGGAAUCAGUAGACAACGGGGUAAAGAACCCGGCGGCUGUGGAUACCAUCCCUACGGUUGUCUGGCCGCUGCCCGAUCACACGAAUGAUAAUCGAGCUUUCUCUGUCUGCAUCGUUGCCAUAGUGGGGAUAAAUCAUAGUGCCCCGAGAGGCUGAUUCCUCACUUUGCAAACACAACAACGCAAUUCAAAUUCCUUUAAAAAACUUGUGUUCACAGAAACUGGGAUUUGAGCACAAAGGAGAAAAGCUUCACUCUUUCUGUUCUGUAUCUGGCCUCGGUUUAAAUAACAAGCGAAACAAGAAAUUGUCGGCUGAUGUAGCACAAGCGAGUGUAGGGUUUGAAUGCACAUAAACUUGGGCCUGCCUGUUGAUUCUGUGACCCUAAACCAAAAAGCCCUAUCAGCUUUGUUCCACUACAUGUUGGUGACCCUAAACCAAAAGUCCUAAUCUUUAACCACAUUAGUCAUUCUACUCAUUCUCAUCUGCAAUAUAUACACAAAACGCCAUCUCCUUACCUUGUUUUACGCUUCCGUGUCUUCUCAUUCUUCAACUCAUUGAUAAGAUCAUGAACAACUUCUUUCUCACUCUUCAACUCAUUGAUAAGAUAAUGAACAACUUCUUUCAUGCUAGCUUUCCUUCGUUCCUCCAAGUUCCACACUUCAGGUAUCGUGUACCUCCCGCUCGGGUUGUACUGGUUCAACUCCAGUAACUUCUUUGUCACAGCAUCAUACACCCCUUCUCCAUAUACAUUCCUCAACUCCUUCAGCUUCUGGUCAUCUUCAUCAAUCACCUCCUGCCAAAAUAUCAUGAGUUAGUAUUCCGAAAAUCCCGAACGUUAUCCAAUUUGUUUCGAUCACAAUGCCUACAUGUGGUGUUUGGUUUCCGGUGAUCUUGAAAGGAUGCCAGUUCGGAUCUGUCAAAUGUUGUUUCCAUAACGAACAUAGCUCGGUAGCUUCAUCUUCUACCUUCUCCCUAGAGAACUUACCAACGCAAGCCUUAAAGAAAACUUGGCCGUUGAGUUCCCCCAUUCUCUUGAUCCUGAUAGUUGACAAACGGUCAUGAGUAUGACGUAUCACUUCUUGCAACCCCUAUACAUGAAACAGAAGUGGAUAAGAUAGGCAAAUCAGAAAUCUCAUGUUUUUUUAACCAACAUGUUCAUGGAAAAGUCUGGAGAGUGACAGACUUCGAUUAAUUCUUUGCGAGCAUCCUGAAGUUCUUGGUUCGCUGCAAACUCCUUAACCAUUAGAAUGCGGUUAUGGUCUUCCGCAAGCUGCAGUUCCUCUUCUUUUUCCUCCAACAUUUCUUUCAAUGCUUCAUACUUGUCAUUUGAAUCCCUUAUAUAAUCUAGAUUUUCAGAUUGCAUGCUUUCUCUUAACUACAUUUCAAAAGUGAAAAGUACAGCAUUAGACAAAUUAUGCAGUCCAGAAAAGCUGCAACCGUUUUCUUCAACUAUGACAACAUUGAUCUCUGUAAUACUGAAUCACCUUCUCCGACUUUUCUCUCGGUGCUUCAUACUUCUCACUUGAAAUCCUUAUAUACUCUAGAUGUUCAGCUUGCAUGCUUUCUCUUAACUACAUUUCAAAGAGAAAAGUAGUGCAUUAAACAAACUAUGCAGUCUAGAAAACCAUUGAUCUUUGUACUGUAAUACUGAAUUACCUUCUCCAUUUGGUCCAAUAAACUGCGAGUUGUAUCUUCUUCUUUGGAAAGCUGCUGCUUUUUAUUCUCUUCCACCUGUUGUAUCAAUUGAUCUUGCCAUUCCACGUGACACUCCAGUUGAACAAUUGUGGCCUUCAAGUGCUCAAUUUCUGCAUCAAAGCAAGUGACUUUGUGAUAAAUCCUACAACUAUAUGCUAAAAGAAUAAGUUUCAGAACAACGUACCUCUAAGAUAGUAAUCCUGCAUCUGGUCUUUCUCGGAUUCCAAAUAUCUUGAAAGUACAGAAGCGUCCUCAUACUUCUACUCCAAUUCGAGAAUAUCCAUACUUACAUAUAACAGUUUUUAAGUAUACUCAUACUCGAUAAACUCAUAUUUUAUCAUGUUUGACCGAUUUACAUUAUGACAACAACCACAAAUCCACAAUGGUUGCAUGAGGGCCGUUCAUUAAGAAAAGAAGUUCAUUGGGGUUUUCCCCGAUCCGUGAAAGAAGCCCAAUUGGUUUGUCUUAUCUCGAUAGGAACUGAUUUACCCCAAUCUUUUAAAAAGGGUGUUAUUCACCGUUUUAAGAUUUAUAAAAACGCUUUAAUUAUUAUAAAUGGUAUAAUUAUUCUUUUAUCAAACACACAAAUCCUAAAUUCUAAUUUUUAAAUACAUCACCCACUAUUAUUCACCAAUAAUUCAUUGAUCAUCAUUGUUAUUAAAGUUUCCAACGAUCAUCGCUUAUCCCAAAAUGAUCGAACACAUGUUGAUUAAAAAAACAUAAAAAUGACCACCUAAUUGCCGCCGGAAAACGGGCGACGGUCCCGUUGCCUGCGAGACCCAUACAAGUUGCCGAUCCAUCGAAGCUCGACAGAGGUGAUCGAGGAUGAUAUUUACUCAUUCGAUCGUCGGAAAGAGAUUGAAUCGGUUUUUAGUUUCAGAGUUCUUAGUUUCGGGUUUUUUUAUCAAAAAGAUAAUAGUGUAAUUUUACGUGUUUUAGAGCGUAACUUAAGAUGACGGAUAGCAAUUCAGCCAAACAAACCUACUAAACUGAGAAUGGACCGAAAAUUGGGCCUGUUGAUUCUGUGACCCAAAACCAAAAAGCCCUAUCAACUUUGUUCCACUACAGGUUAAUAGUGUUGUUGAUUAGCCAAGCCGUUUGAGAAUAGCUUAAAAUUCGAUUUGAAAAGCUUGUUAGUGUCGAUAACCAGUUCAAAUAUUAGUUCGAAUGUAUGAUUCAUAGUAGACUUAAAAAUGCAACAUAUAUAAUAAAAUAAAUCAUAUGUAAUUUGUGAUUUGACUCAUGAAAAUAUAUUUAGUACAUUAUUUAGGUUAGUAAGAACUUGAAAAUUUGAUGAUAGUUUGUUUUUUCAGCCUCAACCCUUCAAUGUUUUAUAGGGUACCAACUUCAUAUUCAACAGUUUGUUUUUUCAGUCUCAACCCUUCAAUGUUUUAUAGGGUACAAACUUCAUAUUCAACCCAAAAACAAGCGAAGUUCAAGUUGAGCUCUCUAAUUUGACUCGUCAAUGCUAGUUAACGAGUCACCCUCGAAUAGGUUCGUGCUCGACACAAGUUGAAAUUUUCUAUUUUGAUUUCAAGCUAGUAUAAAAAAAAAAUGGCAAUCUUAAGCAAAAUGAAGCUCAACUCAGCUCCGUUGAUAAAUGUGGAAAAUGAACCUUACAAACAAAUACCUAAAAAUUCAAAUCUUUAGCCACAUUAGUCAUCUACUCAAUACUCAUCUACAAUAUGUACACGAAAUGACUUGGAGUAUAAAGACUAUCAUAUCUGCUACGUUCUUUUACGCUUCCGCGUCUUCAACUGAUUGAUGAGAUAAUGAACAACUUCUUUCAUGCUGGCUUUCCUUUCUUCCUUGAAGUUCCACACUUCAUGAACCGGAUACCUCCCGCUCGAAUUGUACUCGUUCAACUCCACUAGCGCCUGUGUCACAGCAUUAUACACCACUUCUCCAUAUCCAUUCCUCAACUCCUUCAACUUCUCAUCAUCUUCAUCUAUCACCACCUGCCAAAAUUCACGAGUUAGUUCCGAAAACUAUCCAACCUUGUGGAACUUGUUCAACAAUCAAUAUGUCUACCUACCUGUGAUGGUUGGUCUCCGGUGUGCUUGAAAGGAUGCCAGUGUGGAUCUUUUAAAUGUUGCUCCCAUAAGGAGCACAUUUUAGCAGAUGCAUUGUCUACCUCCUCGCUAGUGAACUUACCAAGGCAAGCCUCGCGGAAGACUUGGCCUUUGAUUUCCCCCAUUCUCUUGAUCCCGAUGGUUGACCAGUGGUGAUGGCUCCGCAUCACUUCUUGCAACCCCUAUACGUCGGAACAAAUUAUUCACAUGUUGAUGAUGCAGAAAUAUUAAACGGUGAAAAAAAAGCUGGAGAAUAUGCCAUAUGUUUACACUGAUUGAUUUUUUGCGAGCAUCCUGGAGUUCUUGGUUGGCUGCUAACUCCUUCACCAUGAGAACACGGUUAAGGUCUUCCGCAAACUGCAGUGCCUCCUCCUUUUCCUCCAACUUUUCCUUCAGUGCUUCAAACUUCUCACGUGAAUUCCUAGUAUACUCCAGUUUUUCAGCUUGCAUGCUUUCUCUUAACUAGAUUUCAAAAGAGAGUACAGCAUUAGACAAAUUAUGCAGUCCAGAAAAGCUUCAACAUUUUUCUUCAACUGUGUAAUACUGAUCACCUUCUCCAUUUGGUCCAAUAAACUUCGAGCUGCCUGCUCUUCUUUGGCAAGCUGUUCCUCCUUCUCUUCCAUCUGUUGGUUCAAUUGCUCCUGCCAUUUCAUGUUACGUUCCAGUAGAACGAUUGUGGCCUUCAAGAACUUAAUUUCUGCAUCAAAUCAAGUGACUUGUGAUAAUCCUACAACUUAUGCAACAGUUUCCACUUUCUUUCUUUACACAUAUCAGUUCCACCAACAAGUUUCAGAACACGUACCUCUGAGAUAGUAAUCCUGCAUUUGAUCUUUCUCAGAUUCCAAAUAUAUUGAAAGUGCAGAAGCGUCCUCGUACUUGUGCUCCAAUUCGAGAAUAGUGGCGUCUCUAGACUGUAAUUUGUCAACAAGUUGAGCAAUCAUUCUAUUCGAGAAUCCUGUCGUGUCAGCAUAGUUAAGUCGCAGUUCUGCCAACUCAUUAGCUUUGGUCUGAAGCUGCAGAACGAGAUUACUAAUGACUUGGUUUGCUUGAUUCAGUAGGUAUUGUUCUUGGUUGUUGUCUUUCUCCAUUUCAACUUCAGUAUCCCUACAAACCUACAAUAGGAACUCGAUACUUGAAAAGGGUUAAAAACAAAGCGGAUAAUCAAUCUGUUUGGACUAAUUGGAGUAAUUUACAACUUCUGGAGGCUAAUCGUUUUAUUGAAAUCAUUCCAUUAAAAGGAAACCCAUAUCACACACAGUUACAAGCAGAGCAAAAAUGCCAAUUUCAAAUCGUCAAAGAAGGAAAUCUAAACCCCAGGGAGAACAAACAUGUAGUAGAUCACAUUUCCUGCCGUGCACCCAGAAAAACUGAGAAAUUGAACAACUUGCAACAUUAAUUCCAGGGGAUUUAACAAAAUACCCACCCACACUGAGAACCCAAAAGGGUAUGAAAAGAUGAAAUUAGCCACGAAAUUACCAAACCUACUUGACCCGAGGAGACAAAAGGAGACAUAGUGUUGAAAUGCUGGAGAAAGUUGCAGAGAAAGGAACUGUUAGUAAGGGGAAAGAUGAGUGACCUUGGAAGCUGAGGCCGCCGUGGACAUUCUGGACAGUCGUCUCGCCGGAAGCAACUGGCCGUAGCGAUGGUACGGAGAGGUAAAGAAGAACUUCGUUGGAAGAGACUUGGGGGGAAAGGAAAUGUAAAUUUCACUCGUUCUGACAGUAAUUUGGGUUUUCUGGACAAUGGGUUAGUUAAUAGUGUAAAUUUAAGUGAGUGGUUAGGGUAUUUAAUAAAGUAAUUUAAUCAAUUUUUAAAAAAACUUCCGACUACUAACACCACCUUCGGCAAGAUUUUAGUGAGGGUCUGGAGAAUUCCUGACUACCUUUUUAGUUAUAAUUAUAUGUAAUUAAUUAUAUUAUUAAAUGUUGAUGAAGAUCCAACCACCUACUAUAAUUGGUUACAAUUACAUGUAUUUAGCCUGUAAAAUUUAUGAUUAAAAUUUUUAGGUUUGUGAAUUGAUUGUUUAAGGAUUUAAAAGUGAAAAUAGUAAUAAUAUUUAAUCCUUAUGAAAUAUCAUAUUUAGCGAGUGAGAUGUGAGAUGGAAUCUUAAACAUUUUAUUAUUUAAAUGAAAAUUUUAAAUUUUAAUAAAAUAAUAAAAAUAUAUUUUUAAAGUUAACUUUCUCAUUCUCAUCCAAAUUUUAUUAUAUAUUCCACCAACUAAACUAACAAUAAUAUCCUUCGACUAACAUCUAAUUAUAAAACCUUUUUGUAAGAAUUUAAUUGACCGAUCAUAUUCGAUUUGAAAAUUUACUCUAUCGAUAUUCAUACACAACAAUUUUUAAAAUUUAACCGGUUCAGAUUGGAACGGAUAAACUAUGAUUACAAGCACCGGAAUGAGGGUUGUUUAUCAAGAAAAGAAGUUCAUUGGGCUUUUCUAAUCCAUAAUAAAGAGGCCUAAUUGGUUUGUCUUGUUCUCGAAUGGAACUGAUUACCCCCAUCGUCCAAACAUACCUGCUGCAGUGACUUCAUCAUUCUUGUUUGUUUUCACUAGCAGCUUCGAACAUUGAAUCUCCAUCGGAAUUAAGGAAACACAAAGAUUCGCCAUAGCCAGCCCAGCCACGAUUAAGCGACAGGAGUAGAAAUCAGGCGCCAGAAAAAUGUUCCCGCAAUUCGGAGCGACGGGUGAUACGCUGAGCAAAGCUUCGACGAUCAUGUUCCGGAUCGGGACGGACGCUCACCUGUACGAUGAUCCGGAGGACGUUAACAUUGGCCCCUUGCUAGACAGCAAGUUCGAUUCAGAGAAAUGCGAAGCUCUCAAGAGACUUCUGGCUCUCAUCGCCCAGGGUUUCGACGUUUCCAAUUUCUUCCCUCAGGUUCGCAGCCAUUUACUCUCUCACCUUGGCGCUUUUGUUUUCCUUUGUAGCUACGUUGAUCUGCUGAAAUUGAGUACUGAGUAGCAGAUGCACAGUUAGGGAAGCAUAGAUUCCGCCAGCGUUUUUGGUUUAGAGCUCAAGGAACUCUAGCAAUGAAGCGAUGCACAGCUUAAUUUUGUUCACUUCAAGUAAUUCAAAAUUCGCGAUGAUUGACGUUUCUUCCGUUUUAUCUUAUCAAUUCGAUCAAGGGAAUUGCAGGUGGUGAAAAACGUGGCAUCUCAUUCAUUGGAAGUGAAGAAGCUGGUUUACUUGUAUCUGCUUCAUUAUGCUCAAAAGUACGUCCUAUAAAUAGAAAAAGAAUGCUCGUUGUUGGUUCCUUCGUAGUUACUCAAGUAAACAAUACUUUUUAGUGCCCUCGAUUAGUAGGUAUUUGCGGUAAAGAAUCUCAUUGUGGCAUCUGUGAAUAAGAGUAAGGAAGAUACGGUUGAUUUAUAUACUGAUGCUGUGGUAUGUAUUAAUUCAUUUUAGGCGUCCCAAUGAAGCAUUGCUGUCGAUCAAUUCAUUCCAAAGGGACUUGGGGGAUACAAAUCCGUUAGUAAGAGCAUGGGCACUCCGUACGAUGGCUGGAAUCCGUUUGCAUGCCAUUGCUCCUCUUGUUUUGGUAGCUGUUGGCAAGUGUGCUAGAGAUCCCUCUGUUUACGUUAGGAAAUGUGCUGCCAAUGCUCUGUCAAAGUUGCAUGAUUUGCGUCUUGAAGAACACUCAUCUACAAUUGAAGAGGUAUCGUUGAUUAAUAACCAACUGAAUGAACUUCAAUUUCCUUGAUAUGCGUGAUGCGUCUGAGGUCUCCAUAGGGGUUAACAUGGUCACCUACUCUGGUUUGACCAUAAUUCUGUCGUUUUCUCUAAUGCAGAUUGUUGGAACGUUGCUAACUGACCAUUCACCUGCGGUAGUGGGCGCUGCCGCUGCUGCGUUUUCUUCUGUUUGCCCAAAUAAUCAUUAUUUGGUUGGAAAGAAUUACAAAAGGCUGUGUACUAUUCUUCCUGAUGUUGAGGAGUGGGGUCAAAUAGUCUUAAUAGGAAUUCUUUUGCGCUAUGCAAUAGCUAGGCAUGGGUUGGUGAAGGAGUCCAUAAUGUUCCAGCUUCAAAAUAAAGAACAAUCGUCAUUUCAAAAUGAUGAUUCAGCUGUGGACUCCACAUUCCAAGAAAAGAGUAGUGACAUCAGUAAGGAAUAUGACUCUGAGUUGGCUAGUAUGAUUUCCAGGUGUUACAUUGAAGGACCUGAUGAUUAUUUAUCCCGUUCAAGUUACUCCAACAGGGUGUUCUUGGCGUUUAGUAGCGCAAAUUUUACAUCUAGCAAGAAUGUGGAUGUGGAGAUCCUACUUCAAUGUACAUCACCAUUGUUUUGGAGCAACAAUAGUGCAGUGGUGCUGGCAGCAGCUGGUGUACAUUGGAUUAUGGCACCGCGUGACGACAUCCAAAGAAUUGUUAAACCACUACUAUUUUUGUUAAGAUCAUCAAGCAGUGCAAAUUAUGUGGUAUUUUGCUAUCCCUGAAACUAGAAGUUCUUAUUUAAUCCUAGUUGUAUUCCUGCGUUCUGUUUAUAGGGUCGUAUUUUACUCUUGAAUUAGUACUAGUAAAAGGACUGUUGGUUGAAGGCUAUAUAGUUCUAAGAUUUGCCCCUCCAAAUUGCUGUGUUCUAGUUUUAUUUAGAGCUUUUUUAAGUUUCAAAGAGCUAGUUCAAGGUCAGCUGAUAAAUACCUCAAUGAUCUACAUCUGCAGGUCCUUUGCAAUAUUCAAGUGUUUGCAAAAGCAAUGCCUGCCUUAUUUGCUCCACACUUUGAGAACUUUUUCGUACUAUCUACAGAUUCUUAUCAGAUGAAAGCUUUGAAGCUUGAGAUCCUUUCUAUAAUUGCUACAGAUUCUUCUAUGUCAUCUAUCCUCAAGGAAUUUCAGGUAAGUUAUUCCCAUCUUUCCUUACCCAUUAGUUACAUGCUAUUUAUCGCUUUGGAAGUCAUUGGUCUUGAAAAAACAUCUACAUCCAAGUGGCUACUACUAGAUUCUCGUUGUUUAUGUUUUAAUCUCUUGCAGGACUACAUCAGGGAUCCAGACAGGAGAUUUGCAGCUGAUACAGUAGCUGCAAUUGGCUUAUGUGCUCUGCAACUUCCUGAAAUGGCUAGUAAAUGCUUGGAAGGGCUGUUAGCGUUGACUAGGCAUGGUAUGUGUUAGUUGCUUGCUUCUACCUAAUUCAGAAAAGAAAUUGUCACUUUGAUUUCUUUAUUAUAAACCGGAUGCGUUUCUUGCAGAUCUUUUCACCAGUGACAUCAAAACUUCCGACGAAGAAGCAGGUGUUUUAGUUCAAGCAAUAAUGUCAAUUAAAAUUAUUAUAAAGCAGGAUCCUCCAAGUCAUGAUAAGGUACUGCUAUUUCUUUUUUCCUUAUUAAGCAAAUGCAUUUCUUCCUUGUCAUUUUGCAUAUGUUUAUCUAGUGAAAAACAUUUGGUAACGUAUGGGAAAUAUUGUCAUAAAACAACAUAUGUUGAGUAAUUAGCCAUUUUGGUUUAGUUGGAAAUUGUCGAUCAUGGACAAGGUCGAUCAAUAAAGUUGCGACCACAGAACUAUUCCAGAAGUAGGCUACUCUAUGCCACUAAAUAACACUUUUGUAGCUCAUUAUUUAAUUAGUUUUUCUUGUUUUUCCAGGUUAUUGUUCAGUUAAUUCGUAACCUCGAUUCUAUUAAGGUAGCUGAAGCUCGUGCAAUAAUUAUUUGGAUGGUGGGAGAGUAUAGCCUUCUCGGGGAUUUAAUUCCCAAAAUGCUAAUUAUUGUACUCAAGUAUCUUGCUUGGAGUUUUACUUCAGAAAGCUCGGAAACAAAGCUUCAGACUCUAAACACGGUUGCUAAGGUAUAUCAAAGCCCUCUUUCUACAACUUCCCUUUUUUCAUUCUGUUAGUUUCACUAAAAUGCAGAACUGAGGUUCUGACCACACUUUUCUCUGACUAUCCUGAAGGUUCCUAUUGCAUGCUGACAUUUUUAUAUUUUGUUAUACUCGAAUUCAUCCUGCCAUUGAGCUUGAUUCUUUAAGAGGAUUCUUCAAUUGAGUCUAAAUUUAAUGUCCUUGUAGGUACUAUCAAAUUCAAAAGAGGGAGAUCUAGAGACAUUAUCAAAAUUAGGUCGCUAUGUGCUUGAACUGGCUGAAAGUGAUAUGAAUUAUGUUGUCCGUGGAAGAGGCCGUUUCUUCAGAAAACUUCUGUCAAGCCAUUUUGGUUCCGAGAAAUUGGAGGAUGACGUGAGCACUUCCUCUGGAAACGAGGGUAUGUUGAAUGUACUUGCUGAACACAUGUUCCGGGAACAAACAACUCAACUUUCACCUGUACCGAUCAGCUUUCGAGUCUAUCUUCCUGGUUCCCUGUCACAGAUAGUCCUUCAUGCUGCCCCGGGCUAUGAACCAUUGCCAAAGCCUUGUACUAUUCUUCCCGAGGAAUUCGAUCAGCUAUCAGAUGCCAAUAGUGGGGCUAAUAUGUUGGACCCAGAUGCUUCUGCUUCAUUAUCUGAAUCUUUUGACGAGGAAAGUAGUUCUUCCAAUGGUUCUGAGCAUUCUAAUUCUUCUAGUGGCAAUGCUGACACAGGUGAUACUGGUUCAUCAAGUGAGGAUGAAAACAUCGAAAAUCCUCUGAUACAAAUCUCUGAUGAAAACCAGACUGGCCUAAUGCCAGCUACUUCUACCGAUCUGGGGGAACUCAUGUCAAACAGAAAUUUAGAUACUUGGUUGGAUGACCAGCCCGGUUUACCAAAUUCAAGUACAUCAGAAGGAACCAAGGUCUCUCGAUCAGUAAGAAUCUCUAUCAAGGACAUUGGAAGACGAGUAACACCAAAGACCUAUGAACUCUUGGAUCCAACAAAUGGAAAUGGCUUGAAGGUGGUCUAUAAAUUUUCAUCUGAUAUUUCAAGUGUUUCACCUUAUCUUGUAACCAUACAAGCCUCUUUUGAGAACUGUUCCAGCGAGACAAUCACGAACAUAGCAUUGAAGCACGAGGAGCCCACAAAAUCCUCGGAUGACAGUGAGAGGUGACUUGUGUGCUUUCUCGAUUGUGGCAGAUUUAUUUAUCCUGUCAAACUGGCUUGGUUAUUUAGUGAAAAUAACUAGGACGUUCAGUUUGUGCUGGUAUCAUUUAUGGCUUCUUACCCCAUCAUCAACUGAAUUGUUUAUAUAAAUCUACUUUUUCUUUAUAACACAAAUGCUUUUCUACAAUGCCCAUAUGGAACUAAGGCUUACAUGACUUUGACUUGUUUAUUGCAGCUCUUUGCCAUCUGAGGAUAAUGUACCUGUACUGGUUCCUAUGGAAGAGAUCAUUUCUCUGGAAUCCGGUGAAGCAACUACGGCGACCAUUCAUGUUCACUUCCAUCACCACCUAUUGCCCUUGAAGUUGGUAUUGCAUUUCAAUGGCAAGAACCAUCCAGUUAAGUUGCGUCCUGACAUUGGAUAUUUUGUGAAACCGCUUCCGAUGGAAGCUGCGGCAUUCAGAGACAAGGAAUCUCAUCUUCGGGGAAUGUUUGAGUGCACAAGGAGGUCAGUACCCUAUAUUCGGCUCCAAGUAUUUAUUUUAGUUAUUAUCAUUAUUGUAGAAAGAAAGAGCACUUCCAUUUUCCACCGUCUCGAAAUCUUGUCCUCUCCUCAAAUUAUUGGUUGGAUUGCAUAUUUGCUAUUUCCAUCUUCUGUUUUUGUCAAAGGAACAACAGUAGCACUUACUAAAUAAAUGAUCUUCAUCUCACUUUCACUUUGUAUGUACCAGUUGUAUCUUCAGUGGCCAUGUUGAAAAUCUGAACAAGGACAAGGGAAAUACAUUCGAAGAAGACAAGUUUCUCGUGGUCUGCGAGAGCCUAGCAUCGACGAUGCUAAGCAACGCCAAUCUCUUCCUUGUAUCGGUCGACAUGCCAAUUGCUGCCAAGCACGACGAUGCCUCCGGAUUAUCCCUGCGGUUCAGCAGCGAAAUUCUUAGCAACUCAAUGCCCUGCUUAACCACCAUUACUGCAGAAGGUAUAUGCUCCGAGCCGUUAAAUGUGGUCGUGAAAGUCAACUGUGAAGAAACCGUAUUCGGAUUGAACUUGCUGAAUAGGAUUGUCAAUUUUCUUAGUUGAUCUUGCAAAUUUGGAUGUCUUUUAAAGCAAAGGAGAACGUGAUCAAAUACUUCGCUAGUGUGUUGUGCAAGCUGCUCUUGCCACUUUAUUUCAUUUGUUGUUCAUGUGUCUUACAGUGUACUAUACCCGCCAUUUCGGAACAGCGCGAUUGUGCUAAUAUUGAAUGAUUCUGCCCUGAGUUUCCUUGUUCGUCUCUUUAUUUAGCAAAAAAAGAAGUUGUAAAAGUUUGUCUGCUAAUUUGAUGAACAGCAAGAAAGUAAGGCCAAUAUCUUGAUUGAUUAUUAUCUGUCUAUCUCUACUUUUGUUUCCUUCCAUUCUAGAAUGAUUGCAGGCACCGAAAGUUUCAUGUUCGUAAAGCUGAAGGUUCUCUGAUGACAGCAAGGUUCGACAUUACUGAAAAACAGAUAUACUUUACAGUUCAGAGCAAUGAGAUCUUAUUCGACCCUUUUCGAGUUUCUUGUAACAUGAUAUCUCUGUGCACAAGAUAAGGGACCGACUCUUUCUGCAUUACUGGCGCUCUUGCUCUGUGUGGCUUCUUUGGCUUACUCGGAGAAGGACCAGUAGUAGGAAGAACGGACGACAAAACUUCUUCAGCAGAACCAGCAGAAGCUCUUCUGAACUUGAACUUCUCCUUCCUAAAACCGCCAUGGCGCUGCGACCUCGACACCUGGUAGAGAUCUCCAACGAGCACAGACCGACUCGCUCCAACUUCUUCACACACCGGCAAUCGACUCUGCUGCUUCGAUUUUUGCCGUCUCUGUUGUUUCUUGGUCAGCUUCCGUUCGUAGUAAAGUCCGAGUUUCAGGUUGUUGACUCUCCUCUCUAACCACACGAUCUCCUCCUCCACGAUCGCCAUCUCUGCAAUAAGCCCCUGUACCUGCCACAUUUCCCAACACUGUCAAACUUCAUGAAAAAUCAAUCAAUCACCUAACCUGCCGUAUAACACAAGAAACCAAAGCUUACUUGAGGCGGAAGCAACGAAGCAAUGCAGGGAUGAGGCGGUAGCACAGGACCGUGAAGCGCGGACUGCAAAACUUUACCAAUCGCUUGCUGCUCGUCCAAUUCUGCGUGGAGGUUCUCGACCUCUUCUUCCAGGAUGUUUCUCCUCCUCUGCUGAUGAUGUUUCUCGUCGGCUUGCUCCGCCAAGUAAUCUUCAAACUUCAUUUUUAGGAAUGCGACUGGGAGAGAGAAGCUAGGAGUAGGUUUGGUUAUAUAGAGAUUAUGAAAGGGGAGUGCUUUAGCUUGAAGGAACGUGGAUGCCAUAACUAGGUAGGUUUGGAGGAGUUGACCCUGGGAAAAAAAAGAGAGGAAAAAGCAGAGAUGAGAUGAGUAAACUGGUGGUUUUGGAAAAGUGUUUGGUUGGGGAAGAAGGAAGGAUGUCUUGUCUGUUGAUUUUUGGGAGAGGUGGUGGCCGGUGGGCGGUGGCUGGGUAAAUGAUCGGUGAAGACUGAAGCAGAACCUCGUGACCUUAUGAAGUUUGGAAACUUCAUUAAUUUCUUUUGUUGGUGAGAGUGAAAGUUUGAGAGGACGGGAAGCCCAUGAACAGUAGCAAAAAAGGGAGAGAUUUUGGUUGGAUGAAACCUUUCUCUGUCGAAUUGGUUGUGGUCGUGAAGAAACAGAGUAAAUGAGAGCUUCGCAGCAGAAGAAGCUCAGGGACGGCCGGGAAAUGACGAAUGAUGGGGAAAAAAACAUGAAAACGAAUAAAAGACACCGGCGGCCUGUGGGGAUCGGUCGACCUGAAAUAAUUUUGGAUUCAUCAUCGUCAAUCGGUUGUGCUGCUACUCAGAUGAAAGGAUGUGAUUCUUUAUGUGUUUGUGUAAUCAGUUCUCAAAAUCUGGAUAGGUGCAGUUGGUAGACAAUGCAGUAUGAUAUCAGCAUGUUUUCGGCCGGGAGGCACUUGUUUGUAUCUUCGAAUACUAAUAAGCAAAUGGCAAAAAAAUUUAUGAUUCAAAUGUUGAAUAAAUCGUAGAAUAAUAUAUUCAUUUGGAAAAAAAAUGGUUGUAAUCUUCAAUUUAGUGGGUAUAGUUCUUCUAUAAUUAAAUCGAUAGAUUAAUUACAUCUUCUAAUCUCGUAAAUUAUAUUUUAAGGGAGUUAAUGAUACAUAUACUCUUUUAAUAAGGAAGAAUCAAGAUAAUAAAUCUUAAUAUUAUUAAUAUAUUAUAUUAUCAAUCAAGUCAAACCAAAGUUUAAUUAAUUAGCAACAAAGUCAAACACCAUCUUCUAGAGUUGACAAAGUGAUUGAUGCACUUAAAAAUUGCUUUCCCUCCAGCCUCCGAACUGCUGUCCAUCGCCACCGUCCCCUGCCUGUUUGCAAAUCACCAGCAGAAAACAAACAAUUAAAAACAGUAAUUUCAUGAGAAACAAUUGAACAAACAAGUUACGGCGUAAUUAAGAAGGGAUAAAUUAAUAAUUUUACCUUGAGGGUAAAAGUAAGACCAACUUUGAUCUCACCGCGGUAAGAGUUGUCAGCAGUAACCACACUGUACUUGCAAGGUCGGAGCUCGUAGCUCCCCUUCUCCACCCCUGUUUCCAACACUUCUUUCACUUGCUGAAUCCUGAUUAAUCUCAGUUUAACCAUAUCGAUCAGUGACUCAUUGGUUUGAUUAGUUAGUUGAUCAGUAAUUAAGGAGAGGAAAUCAACUAAUUAAAUUAAAGGACAUACGUAGCCAUGCCAACGAAGUCAUCGGCAGUGAAAGUGUCGUGGUCCAUGAUCUUAAGGGUGAGCUUGUAAUCGCCACCUUGAGGUGCUGGAUAUUCCGCCCUGAAUGACAACUUCUCGUUCCACGCUGGACUUCCACCUGCCUCUGCACCACCACAUCCCCAAACUCAACCAUCAUAUAUAUUUAGGAUACAUACAUCAUUAAUCAAUCAAUACUUUCCCGAACAUUACCAUCGAACGAUCGUCCCAUUCAACCUUGAACCGUACAUCAGAUCGGUUUGGUCCAUUAACAAUAAUCUUUUGGUUGGAGGAUCAUUGAACCAUUAAAAUCCCGAAAAUUAUUUAACAAAUUAAUACGAAUCAUUGAAUUUCUUUAACUUGACUCAAAAAUGAAAUAACAAUUCUAGAAUUUUAACUAUUAAAACCCUAUUGAUAUGAACUAAAUGUAGAGGUAGGGAAUCAUGGAUGUCCAAUUACCUAAAUGUAUGUUUAGGGGUUGUUUGGUAUAGGAAAAAUUUAAGUAUGUUUACGGAAAACUCUUAUCUUAUUUUUGUUGGAAGUGAUGGUUAAUUGGUUAUAAAUAAACAUCUUACUUAGUAUUCGAAUUUUUUUCAUUAGCAACAACGUGACAAGUACUUUGACCAGGAUUUUUCAAAGUUCGAAUUCAAUUGAACCUCUAAUUCUUGACCUCUGGUUCAUCCGGUUCGACAUUCGGUUCAUUGACCUGGUUCCGGUCGAAGUCUAUUAUAUUUUGAAUUUUCUCACCUCUGCGUCUUGGAGUUGGACUAGCUAACCUAACAUUCCCAACUGUUACCCUUUCACCAAUCAUAAACCAGCUAAUGUUGGCCAGCAGUUGAUAAUGAGUCAUGCAUGACCUAUAUUUGUUAACUAUUUUAUAACACCAAAACUCAAUCAACACCAUUAAUAUUGCUCGUAAACUUAAUGCCAAUAGGAGUAAUGCGCAGAUUUCGGUUUUAACAGAGUGUUUGAUUGCAGACAUACCUCUGGCAACGCUGGUCUUCCGCUCUUGAUUCCUGUACUCAACUACCACGUAUGGAUCGAUUCCACCUAAUUCCCAGAUCAAGAACAGGGACCCAUUUCAUAAGAUGAAUGCUUGAACAAAACCCAGAAACUCAUCUUAGUUUCUACCCAGAAAACAGAAUAAAGAACACAACUUUUUAAACAGGAAGCAGCAGAAAAAGGAAAUAAAUAAACAACAAGAACAUUAGCAAUACAUACCAAGGAAAUCGGUGUUGCUGAGGCCCUUGGCGCUCACCACAUUAACCUCCAAUAUCCCAAUCGCCAUAACUCCGAUCGAUCUCUCACUACUCUUCUCUUGUAUGUUCCCCGUUCUCCAAUAAGCUAUAACUCUGCGAAAUCUUCGAUGGUGUGUUGUGGUUUGUUUUAAAAAAGGGGGAUGUGGGUUUCCAGAAGGGAAGACCGAAAGAGUCCAAAAUGUACAGAGACAGAAAGAUGUCAGCUUUUAUUUAUAUCGACAGAGGAGGAAGAAGAGUUGUCCCUGACAUUUUCAGCGAUUUGAUUAUUCAGCCAUCUCUCUUUGAUAAUUUGUUGGGGGUAGUUAAUACGCGUGAAGUGUGAGCCAGCGGAUUUAUUUUUUUGUAUACGUUAAAAUGGCUAUAUUCCUUGAACCGUUUAAACAUUUUAGAAUAGCAUCCAUUGAUAUUUUUUUCACCAUCUAGUACCUAUUCUCAACUAUACGAAGUUCUGUAUGAAUCUGACGAAUAAAGGAUCAUUUGAUCAUAAAGAGAUGAUAGAGUACAUUGUCGAUAGAAAAUCAGAGAAAGUUGCAGUACAUGUAGCAUAUAAUGGCUAAGUGAGCAGACGAUCCAUCCAAUGAUCAAACGUCGACGAGGCGCUCAUAACUCCAAUCCCCUUUGCACCCGAUAGGAGGCCUUUUAGAUGCAUUUGAGUUCAAGGAUCUCUCCCACAAGAGAUUGAUUGAACCCAUUAACUCAACAGUAUUGGACCGCAACACCAGAAUUCAAUAGCUACUUGCUUGUUUUCGUCUCAUAACUGACUUAACACGAUAUCAGAACACUUUGAAAGUUAGUACUCAUGUAUAAUCCAACUCCGUCUAGAAGGUCCUUUCACCACUUGACAACAUUGGUGGAAUAGUAACUAGUUUAGAGAAUAUAUACUUCCAACCCAUGUCCUAAACACAUGACCUUUUAAAACCACAAAUUUCAAAUACCUACAUUUAUCAAAAUAACAUGAUUUUGUUCAUAAGACAUAGCUACCAAUAAGAAAACAACAUGCGGUAUAUCUACUACGAUACCAAUUUCUUCUUGUCACACUAGUAUUCAUAUACAGAAUCAUCCUUCUGUGUAUAUAGAAACAAUCCAUCUACAAACUGUGUAUAUAGUCUACCAAAUAGCACCUUCACAUAUCCAUGUCAGAUAUGUACAUUUAUGCCACUAGCAAACCGUUUCCUACUCAAAAUAGUCAUCAGGGCAUCACACAAGUCACAACCCCUUAUCCUCUCCUUGCUAAUAAUAUUCACACAUCAACUAGUGACAAAGUCCUACUUCAAAACGGGGCGCGGUGAGGUUUACCCUUGCGUCUCCUGGCAUUGUUAUGAUUGAACAUCGGAGGAGUAGUUGGCGAAAUGUUGACAGCAGCAGCCUCAUCGCCAGAGCUAUCAUGAGCCUCCGGAGCAUGAAUUGAGAGCCUAUCCAUCAUCCGGCUGAAAAGAUUAGUCCUUUGCAUCUUCUUAGGAGUGGACGAUUCAUCUGAAUCAGACCCUCCUUCCCCGAAAAUCCGAUCUCUGUUGUGCUUCUCUCGUAGUAUGAAUGUGAGGGAUUGAUCAUCUCCUCGUUUCACGCCUCCUAGCUGCCACAUCAACACAACAUACACCAUUCAUAUCAACUCUUUAGGCAUUACGAGAAUUAAGAGGUAUUCAUAUCAUGAGUGUACACAAUUCGGACCUUGCAGCCGAGGGAGCAGAACCGGAAGGAAUCGGGGAGGCUCCUGCAGCAGAUUGCGCAAGUACUCGUAACUCCUUUCCCAGGUCUCGACUGAGGCCUCUCGUUCAGGAACACAAUCUUGGCACUGUUGAUAACAUAGGUCUGGACGCAAGAUAUGUCUAUGUACUUUUGUAUUUCGAUCACUCUCACCACGUUAUGGUACGAUGACCGUCGAAUCUGACACAAAAAGAACCAUUAAUGUUAGAAACCGAUAAGUCAUAUGAAAGCUCCAUAAUAAUUAGAGAGUACAAAUUACACAUUCAAAAGUGUUAUACAAUGUGGAAAUAAAUUAGGUGGGAACCGGUCCGUACCAACCAAAUCAAUACCUAAUUUCAACGGAAUCCGAAUCGAAACAAAAGUUGAAUAGAGAGCAGCGAGCUGAUUACCUGAACGACCUGGUGAUCCUUGUGAUUAAUCAAACAGUAAGAACAGAGAGCAUUCCCAGAGCAAUCCAAGCAGAACAUAUUGCAUUCAGUACUCUUGCUGGAAUCACCAUGUACGUUACAAGGAGCAAAGUAGCUUGCUUUCAGCAUUGGUUUCAACCACGCCGGAACCAGGUCCCGCUGGCCUCCGGUGGCCGCCAUUCCGUCGAUUGGACUCACCUGAAUAUAAAGAACCAAGAAAAAUCAAAACCCAAACGGUAACCAAGUACCAACCUUUUUGAAUUGAAAGCAAACCCAAGAAAGAACCAAAAUCAAAAUAAGCGAAGAAGAGGUAGAUAGAAGUGAAAUGAUAAGGAGGACAAGAAUACCAUGAACCAGCACAAGCCUUUAGCUGAGAACCCUACUGAGAAAGAACAGAGGAAAUGGGGAUAACCUAACUGAGAAAUUGCAGAGAAAAUGAGCAGCAAGAUAAGAACAAUGGAAACGAAGAAGACUGAAAGGAGCCAAGAAAAGGAAUAUGAAAAGGAGAAAGGAACCUUUAGGGAGGAAUGAGGAGCUGAAGCGAAAAAAGGCAGUGAUAAUGCAGGAGAAGACUGAAGAGGCAGAAACAGAGGGAAAGCAGCAGAGUGUAUAUUCAGACUUCCCAGAAAGCAAAAUCAAACGAGAAAACUCUCUUUCUUUUUUAAAAUAAUAUUAAUUCUUUUUCUUGGCAGCCAAGUGAUCGGAAA